Molecule: long non-coding RNA, 68581 nt
Filed under: Prunus persica (peach)
Lineage: Eukaryota; Viridiplantae; Streptophyta; Magnoliopsida; Rosales; Rosaceae
Description: long non-coding RNA (PPER_LNC001936)
Source: RNAcentral
UUGUGUGACAGAGUUACUUCAGCCGAGUUCAUAGACUUAUUUCAGCAGAAGAACUUGAUGAAACACUCCUCAUGAACCUGAAGACAACACUGUUGAUUUUGUUUGCGGUGCUCAAUGAUGCAGAGGAGAAGCAAAUUGUGAACCCUGCUGUGAGAGAGUGGCUUAACAGCUCAAGCAUGCUGUCUUUGAUGCAGAGGACUUAUUUGAUGAGAUUGACACUGAAGCUUUGCGAUGCAAGCUGGAAGGUGAGGAUCAAACCCACAAUAGUUAACCAACAAGGAUCUUUUUGAUUGUUUGAAAGAAGAGUCUUUGAUGAUUUGAAAGGAGAGGGUUGCUUUAUUUCUGUUGGAUGCGUAAUUAAAUCUUAUUUGGAGUUGAACAAGGAUUAGAUUAGCUGUAUAAUUAGUGGUAAACGCCUUUUUCUAAGGGUCAUUUAGACUCCUAUUACGAUUAAUUUGUUGUUUCUAAUUUGGACUUAUAGGAACAGACCAAAUAUGUUCACACGUGGCAUCGCUCAAGUCAUCAUCAUUUCAGACUGAAAAUCAGCCUUCAAGUGUCUGUUGAGCCAAUAAACCUUUCUAGAUAUAUCAAGUGCAAUGGAAAUUCAUGAGUUACAUAGAGAUUUGUAAACAUUUUGAAGAUUGCAACACCUGCAAGUGAGAUAGGCGGUGACGAAAUCAGAGCUGAUUUUGAAGCCUCUGAUGCCCCUGUUGUUGCAAGUUGCACCUGAGAACAUGUUUUUUUUUUCUUUGGGGUAAAAAAACUGGCAACAUGUUCGGAGCUGACAAUUCAAUCCCUGAUGAACUAGAGAAGCGAAGCUCCGGUAAGGAAUUGGUCAAGGUUGUGACAGGGAUGAUUGAUGGUGAAAUGGAUGCUAUUUCUUAUUGCAGCCUGUUCUCAAAGUUCUUGUUGGCAAAUGCAAGAGAUGGAGUAUUUUGAUUGGGAGGAGAUAUAAUGACAUGGCUUGACAAUUCUAGAACAGCCCAUCAUUAAUCCCAGAAAAAAUCCAGUUUCUGCUAAACAAUCACUUAUGGCAAGGCCAACUCUGUAAAUGGAAUUUGUGAUCCCUUGAAAUUGUACACAUUUUUUCUUUUUGAGGAAUUUAAUCAAACAGUAUUCUAAUGUAUUAUGAUAGCACUACACGCUUUUGUUGUAACAAAUUACAAGGAGGAAUUUGGAUUGAGUUUCUUGUAUAAGCACACCUUACACAAAUUUGGUAUAUUUUCUUCCAGCAAGUCUGUUUAUUAACCCCCUUAUCUGAAAUUAAUUGUUAAAAGUUUUGAUUCAUCUUUAAUCAGUGUCUAACCCUUGUUGAAUAACACUCCUCUUUCUAAUUUAUAUUUGAAGUUUGAGGUUUCAAUUUCAAUUGUGGGCUUUGAUUUUACAGAUUUUGUUUGUCAAUUUCAGUUUGGACAAAGCAUAUGCAAACAAAAUAAGCAUUUUAUGUUAUACUUUUGAAAUAGGUGUUGAUUUGAUUUAAUCAUAAGUUUUGCUGGUGCAUUUACUAGGCUAUCAUUCAAUACUUUUGAUCAUAGAACUUCUUUGGUCGAUAUUAUCUUUGUUAAGUUUAACCAUAAAUUUAGAGAGGGGACUUCAACAGAUUUAUAAUCUCAUCAUUAUAGUAUUAAAAAUUAGAGAUUAAGGCAUUGUCUAUUAUCUGAAUUCUGCUUACUUUUAGUUCAUAUGUUUACAUCUUAGCAUAUUCAUGCGAUUAGUGCGGCUCAUACCACAAAGGCAACUUUAGGCUCAUCAAGUGCUAAGCAAUGUCAAGCUUCCAAGUGACAAGUUCUCUACAUAGUUUGAGACCUACACUUACUAGAUAUUAGAUCAUUUCGAUCAUUUCCAUAUGUUUAUAUGUAAUUGACAUGUUAUAACAAUUUUUGUAGCGUUAUAUAAUUAUUUAGCAAUUUAAUUAUUUCUUUGCAUCAAGAAAUAGUUCUUAAGUUAUUAAAAAAAAAAAAAAAGAUUUAAAAAAAAAGAUUUGUUGAUGCUUAAAAAGCAUCAAGAACAGGUAGUUUCUUGACGGUUUAGUGACGUUUCAUAACUGUAGGAGGCUUUUUCUUCCGACAGCUGUAAAUGGGCUGGGUUGCCGUAAAGGGCAGACUGAUGAAAUUGUCCCCUUUUGUCUGAGCUAGAAAAUUAAGCCCCAAAAUACUUCGAAAGGGCAGCAGAGCCUUAGGAAGUAUUUUGGUUACCCUCACCAACUAAAACAACAACAACUUACAGGUAAUUUCUUAAUGCUUACAGAUGAACUCUUGAGCUUGGCAUGAGAGACAUGUGGCAUGGAAGCAAAAUCAACAUGAGUUUAGCACUGAGGGGAAAUUUAGGCUCUCUUGGGGGAAAAAGGGAAGUGUUAAGGUGAGAGAGGAGAAGUUUGUAGGAGAUUUAGCUAAGAAAGGAGAAAUAUAGAACAAUGCUCUUCUGGCAGCUUGACAGAUGCUCUGUCUGCCAGAAAAGGAAGAUGGAGAAGAAAUGUGAAUAGUGCACGAGUUUGCUAGAUUUUUGCAGGUAAGAGAGGAAGCUUGCUCUCUGGGUCUGAGUUGAGUUUUGUUAGGUGGAAGAGACCUCAUUUUAUAGCUCCUGGAAACCAUCACUUCCCAAGAAACCCUAAUGGCUUCUACCCAUUUUGGCCAAGCUUUUCCAUUCCUUUCUCAUUUCCUUCCUUGACUUUACCCCUCUUGAUGAAAUCCUCUCUACCUAUUUGCACCAGAUCAGAGUUUUUUGAAGCUUAAGGCCCCCUUUUCCCGCAGUUGUCUCAAUGGGAGACUUUCAUUCCUAGUCAUUUCCUUUAUUGCUUUCCUUUCUUUUUUUCAUGGCCAAGUCUGGUGGGGAAAGGAGUUGGGAUAAAUAUGCUAGUUUGAAGGGUGCUUCUCUUCUUGGCAUCUUACACACUAAUACCCCUUGGUUCCUUGAAUGUUUUGGCUUUGAAACUUGCUCCCCUCCAUGUAUUGGAACCUCCCAGCAGCCCUGGUCAAUGAAUCUUCAGACCUUCUCUUCGUGGCUUUUAUUUUUUUAUCAACUGGCUAGGGCUUUUGUGGCUCAUUGGGGCAAUUGUAUGGGCUAAGGUGGUUCAUUAAGUAAGUGGGCUAUUUUUAUUAAACAUUGAGCUUUUUGGUUGAGUCACUAGGCUAUUUUGAUUGGGCUAUUGGGCUAUUGUUUCCUCUCUUGUGCUCACCCACAUGUUUGGACCAAAGAAAUGAGCUUGAGUCCUGAGGCUCCCAAGCGACCCGAGACUUUCCAUUUAUCGGUCCAUCAAUGGGCCUCAUGUUGAUUUAUUACCAUCCAUACCACACCCCACUCAAGCAAGCCCCGGGCAUUUGAGUGGCUUGGGCCCACUUAGGCUUGUAGUGUGGUUGGGUGCAAAAUAACGAUUUCGUGCUUGGCAUGUUUUAAUUUUAUCAUCCAUGGGAAAGGCUGCGAUGUUUGAUUUCGGCAUGGGCUUGUAGAGCUGGUAUGCUUUAUUUCAACUCCUAGCAUGACGAAUUAUUUAUUUAGCAUGGCACGUGAAUUACAACUCGCAUGUGGUGGGUUUUUGUGUACUACACCUUACGCCUCUUCUUAAUAGAACAUCGUUUCUGAUAAUUUAUUUGGGCCCAACCGUGAAUUUUUUGGAUCUCAAUAAUAACCAUCAUGAAACAUUACAUUUUGACUGACAUCAAGAAAUGGGGUAUCCCUUUCUUGAUAGUGGCAUCCAUGAUGCCUUCCAAGCCGUCAAUUAAGGGCUAUCGCGAUGCAUUUUAGUUGUCAGCAAAAGGUGUUUUUCUUGUACUAUAUUCACUCAAAAUCGUGUUUCAUUUAAGAUUAGUAGUAUGGUUGAAUACCAUUUGUUUUGUUAAAGAAUAUUAUACAUUAGGGAUUUUUGUAGAAAUGUCAUUUGAACUUAUACCUUAGUUUCAAUUUGUCACCUUGAAGAAAAAUUUAAGAGAAAUAUCACCUUAAUUUUUUAAAAUCCAUGAUUUGUCAUAUGACUUUAAGAUCAUCCAAUUUUCCAUCCAUUUUAAGGGUAUUUUAGACUUUUCAUUUUCAAGGAAAAAAAAGAGAUGAAAAAAGAGACCUCUCUCUUACUUUGUCCCCCAACCCAACCCCACCCGCCCCCAAAAACACAUCACAUAGGAUUGCCUCCCCCUUCCCCACUUUUCUUUUUUCUUUUUGUCAUACUUUUCCACUGUGUUUAUGUUGAAGGAUCUAAAGUUUGCUUGGUCACCAUCUUUUACGUAGGCUUCCUAAUUGUUGGUUUGGGUGGGUUGUGGGAAUUUGUGUGUGGAGGGCAAGGCUCUAUCUGACAGGACCCACCUCGAAUUCCUCGAAACCCGAGACGAAUCUUGUAGAAUUUCCGACAUCACACCGAUGCCGGGUCCACUUCUGAACUAAAUCCUCUUUUCCAAAAUUAAGGAAAAAUAGUACGAGGCUUUCUGCCAAAAUUUCGGCAGUCUUCCCUAUAAAUUUAACGUUUCAGCUUUGGAGGCCGUUCUUUCAUUUCUGCUUUGGUGGCCGGAUGAGAGAACGGCCGGCUAAAACGUGGCCAGCUGGCACUGCCGUCACGAGAGAGAGAGAGAGAGAGAGAGAGAGAGAGAGAGAGAGAGAGAGAGAGAGAGAGAGAGAGAGAGAGAGAGAGAUGUUUAUCAAACCAUUUUUGCCAAAAUUACGAUUAUGCAACUGAGGGUAUUUUGAUCGUAUCUUUUUCGUUAUAACUCCGAUUCAAGCCCACUACAUAUCUACGGACUCAUCUCGCCGUGCUCUAUGCAAUUGUAUAGUUGAAAUUCCCAAAUUCCAUCCCAGUCAAAAAGUCAACUUUAAACCUUAUAAAAUAUUCUAAGGGCAAAAUGGUCUUUUAUCUAAUUAAAUUAAUAAUUGAAAAUUUAUUUAGGACCGGGUCGUUACACUGUCGUUGAUGGACUGUGCGAUGGCACUCACACAAAGUCCUUAAGAAUAAAACACACACACACCAUGAAGAGAGUAAAACAAAUGCACAAAGAUUUAUAAAGGUUUGGCCUCCUGCCUACAUCCUCUUGGUGAUCCACCCGAGAAAUUCACUUGUACGUAAGAACAACUUUGGUUACAACUAAACCCCCUUAGCUUUCAUAAGAACCCUAGAUCUCUUUUCUCCCACCCUUGCUCCAACCCUUUGAUGCCCUUGUAAACACUCAAGAAUUCAUCCUUGAAUUCUAUCAUGUGUUACAUCUUCUCUUCUCCCCUUUGCCAACCUAACCCUACAAGUUAUAUUUAAAAUUCAUUGGACUUUAAGUACAAGUUAACUAGGAAUAGGAAACAUAAAAGACCCCAAAAAUUGGAGAAAAUAUGUCUAGAUCUCAUUAGGAAAUUGCACAACACGUGCGAUCCUCUCGAGCGCCUGCAAAAUCAUCCCUUUGCCGCUCGAGCUGCCGAUAGCUCAUGGGAUGGGGGAAUUAGAAAUUUUUUUUUUUCAAUUUUAAUUGUUUAAAAGAUAUACAAUUUAUUAAUAAUAAUUUUUCCAUUUUUAAAAUACCCUUGAAAAUAGAAAGAUUAAAAUGCCCUUAAAAAUGGAUGGAAAAUUGGAUGGUGUUAAGGUCAGAUGACAAAUCAUGGAUUUUGAAAAAUUAAGGUAACGUUUCUCUUAAAUUUUUCUUUACAGUGACAAAUUGAAAUUGAGGUAUAAGUUCAAGUUACAUUUCUGCAAAAAUUCUUAUACAUUAUGAUAUUCUAACAAUAAUUGGCUAAAAUUGAUAUGUUCCCUCUUUUAUUUUCUUUUUCUCUUUUCCUUUUCAUUUUAUGAUCCAAUCCUUUUCAUAUAUUUUUGUUCAAGACUUUGUUUUAUAAUGCUCUAUUACUAAUUUGGUACAGGUCCCUAAAAUCUCGGAGCCGCCUUAGUACAUUCAUAACGUACAUGUUCAGAGUUCAAGAAUAAUGUAUAGAAUGUGAAAUUGACGAUGCCGGCCUUUAUGAGGCAACAUCUUUAUUUCUUUGGUUAUUCCAGUUUAGAAUAUUUGCACAAAUGAGAUGACUCCAAGCAUAAAGUCACAUUCGACCAAAAAGCAUAAAGUCACACACAAAAAGAACACGGACAAUUGCUAAGUUUAUCCUUGUACCCUUAUUUUAUUGAUCCGACCCAAUUGAAAAAUAAAAAAAGAUGAUAAAAAAUAUUGUUCACUGCUUUAAAAUCUAUGAGUAGAGUCCUCCAUUUGAAAUUUGGUCAUUAUACAAAAUUGGAAUGAAAAAAGAAAAUCCUAAAGCUAUAUUUGAUAUAUUUCAUUUUCAUUUUUUGCUGGGUGUUAGGGCUCGUCAAUGGGCCGGGCCUGGCUAGCCCGGCCCGAAUUUAAUGGGCUUGGGCCAGGCCGGCCCAGGCUUUAAAGAGGAGAGAGAAAAUAUCAGGUCGAGUUUUUUAAGAAAAUUCAAAGCCCAAGCCUGACCCAUGAGCCGGGCUUGAGAAAGCCCAUCGGGCCGGGCCGGGCCUAAACGGGCCCUACUUCAUUCAAAAAAAAUCAUUAACUUAAUCAUAAGGUCAUUUUAGUCCAAAUUUGAGAUUAAACUCACUUAAUUCUAAUAUUUUUACUUCAAACCAAAUUCAUAAAACACCCAAUAAAGUCACACAACUUGUAAGAUUUUCCACAAAAAUAAUAAAACCAAGUAUUAUUUUUGAGGUUAUUACAUAAUUAGAUCGUAAUACGUUUUAAAAAAUAAUUUUUAAAAAUAAUAUUAAUAAGUAUCAAAAAAAUAUUUUUUUAAAGGAUGGUAUGAAUAAAUAUGCAAAUAUUUGGUGAUGUGUUCAAGAAAAGGAUGAUUAUAUUUGGUGGUACGAUUAUGUUUCGUGAUACGAUUAUAUUUAGUGAUGUGAUAUGUUGUUCAUCUUAUAUAUAUAUAUAUAUAUAAUUGUUGAACUAAUAAUUGACACAAAUUAAUGUGUUAAUCAUCCAAUUAUAAACUAGGAGUGAAUAAAGAAAAGUAAAUGAAAUGAAACAAAUUAUAUGUGUGAUUUAAGUGAUAUAAUCCUAAACCUAAACUCUUAUUUAUACAUAAUUAUAUAUGUAUGCGGGCCUAACGGGCCGGACUUUUGUGGGCGUGUCGGGCCGGGCUUUCUUGGGCUUAAUCAGGCUGGACCUAUGGGUCAGGCCGGGCUUCAAACACCCCAACACGAGCCUAGCCUAGCCCGCCUUGGGCCGGGCCAUCUCAAAGCCCAUAACGAGCCGGAUCGGGCUUUUUUCGAUUGGCCGGGCGGGCCCCCUCGACCCAUGAGCCCGCGGGCCAAAUGAUGAGGCCUACUGGGUGUUCAAUUUUUCUUGUUUCUUGUUGAAAAGAAAAAUGAUAAUUAAUAAAAUCUGAUUUGGUGGUUGUGCUCGUCACAAAUCAAUGAAAUGACAGCAGUGAUUUUGCAAGACAGCAUACCUUCUCUUGGGGUGCUUUUCAUUUUGCAACAUUUCUUUACGUGUAAUUUCCAGAGGAGGGUUUAUCAUUGUAUAUAGCUCUUCGGGUGGUUUUUUCUGCAAAACAAAUGUCACAAGGAAGGAGGAGAAACGGAAAAGAUUUACUUGGAAUGUCUCAAGUCUCCUUUGAGAUAAAGGCAUCGAAUGCACAACAUUGUUUUUGUGCUAUUUCAUAAUUAAAGUGUGCUUCCCAAGUCUCCUUUGCGUUUUGUAACUUGUAAUGUUUGUUUUUUUGUUUCCCCUGUUUUGUCUUUUAUAAAAGAAAGAGGAAUGCUAGCAACCUUCUCUCUAAUCUUCUCUUUUGGACCUUCUCCCUUUUCUUUUUGACAAGUGUCAUUUUCCAUACACUUAAAACAAUGACAUUAAUGCAUCACACAAUUUAGUUUUUGUUUUCCAAGUUUACCAUUUUAAAAUGUAUUGGCUUUUAUAUUUCCUUCAAUUAUUCACAUUUUGUUAUAACUUGUUUAGCACAUUAUUUUUUUUAAUUUAAAAAAAGUCAUAUUUUUUAAAAAUAAAAAUAAAGUUUGUUUCAUGACAUUGUUAUCAUUUUUAUUUUGUUUUUAACAAAACACGCAUUCUCUUUGGAAAAAUUAAAAAUUAAAAAACAAUUCAGUUUUUAUUUUCUUAUUUAAUUUUUAACAAGCUAGUAAGAAAGUUAUAAAAAAAAAUUAGCUUGUUAUUAAAAAAAAAUUAAUACAUUUAAUAAGGGUAAAUUUGGAAAACAAAAACUAGUUUGUGUGAUGCAUUAAUGACAUUGUUUUUAGUUUAAGGAAAGUGACACUUGUCAUGAGAAGAAGGGAGAAGGUCCAAAAGAGAAGGUUAGAGAGAAGGUUGUUAGCACUCCCCAUAAAAGAAAUACAGGUCUGAACCACACGGAUCUACUUGCAUAAUAAUGGACCAAAUUUAUGAUUUUUAGAAAGAACCUUCUACUGGUGGAAUCUUGGGCUACUGUUGUGGCUCUCCUCUGUGUGCCUCCUUUUUAGAAUGGUAAAAUAUUCAAAAUACCAGAAAAUGUUCAUGAUUAAUGCAAAUAUUAAGAAUUGAAAUUAUUAAUUAAAUGAAGAUAAUAUGGUAAAUUCACACUUUUUCAUAUUAAAAAAAUUAAAAUUAAAAGAAAUAUCAGAUAAUUACUCUUAUUUUUAUGGAACACAGCUACCCAUUAUCUUUUUUAAUUAUAAAAUAAAUUUAAAUUAUAAAAAAAAAAUCCUCUCACAUGCACGGAAGCGCGUGCUCAGAGGCUAGUUAAAAAUAAUGAACUUUGCUUCUGAUGUCUAUACCAGACCCACUCAACCUGCUUUAUGAUUAUACAAAGAACAAACUCGUCCUUAGACUCAUUUGGUUAAACUUAGAAAAUAAUGAAACAAAAAUAUACACACCCACAAGUAACACAGCCAGGAUUGAAAACAACUGGACAAAGAAAGGCAUGUUAAAACAGAAUUUUCAACAACUCAUCACCAUUAGACAAGAAAAAGAAAAAUCAAUACAGAAACAGAAAGAACAGAGAAUAAAUGUGGUGGAAGAAAAACGUUGAAGCCAUUUGUGAAUCCAACAACACUACCACUCUGUUUCUCUCCUUUUGUUCAGGCGGAUCUGCAUAUAUCCUAAGGCGUAUUACGGAAACAACUUCUUGCCGUUAUACUUGAAUGUUGUGGAUGCUUCAACGUUGCCAUCUGGGUGGAGUGGAUUUGUCCAAUUCACCUUCACUAUGGUUAAUCAACUAGACAGACAUAAGUCAGAAACAAUAGGUAUAUAGGUCCAAAUUGUUGUUAUUUGAAAGGCUUCUAAAUUUUAACAUUUUGAUUUCUAAAUUUUGUUUUAAUAUUUCGGCCCACUUAGUUCUUCUCAAAAUAUGUCAUCAAUAUCGUUGAAAGGUUGAACUUAGUGAAUUAUUAUAGUGCAGUACGGUAAAAUAGGCACAUGAUAUAAUUUGUCCACAUGUUCUAAUAUAAGUGAAUAUUUAUUGAUAUUAUUUUCAAAAAUAAAAAAUAUCAACCAUUACAUCCUCCCAUAUUAUAAUACAUAUACAAAUUAUACCACAUUAUCAUACUCUAAUACCAUUUUAUAAUUUCUCGUACUUAGGAGGUAUAGAGCGAGUCAAUGACAUUACAUAAUAUAUAAUUGUUCAUAUAAUGGGGCAACUAACGUGAUCAACAAGUUGUGGUGAUUAAUUUAACAUAAUAAAAAACAUACCAUUUACUAUGUAACAAUUUGUUCUUUUAAAUUGGAUUGUCAUCACUUUAAUAUGUUAUGUUUCUUAUUCUAGUCUCCCAUGUUAAGUGCUUCAGCAUUGUUUGUGGUGUGUACACAAAUUUUCUUAUAAAAUGUUUUAAUGCUUCUCACAUGUAUAUCAGAUAUAGACAGUUGAUGUGACUUAGAAAUCAAAUUGUCAAUAAAGAAAAAAAAUAUAAUUGGUGAUCGAGGUCCAAUUUAAUAGAAAAUAGUCUUAAUUUGUAUAUUAAAGGUUUCAGAUUCGAAUCCUCACUGCAUUAUUGUUGUAUGCGUACACGAGAAAUUCUAUUUCCCAAUAAUUUAGAUUAUCACUUAUACUAAAAAAAAUAUAUAUAAUAAGUUUUACGAAUGCAAACAUAAAAUUACACCAAACAAUAAUGGAAUAGAAAGAUGGAAGUUUUUUUUUUUUCCUACAUCUAAAGUAUACUUUAUAUAUAUAUUUAUUAUGGGAGUUAUAACCGUUUAAUUUUCAGUUUUUAUUUUCUAUUUAUUGUGUUAAUUUUUAUGGUUUAAUAUGUAUGGAGAUUACAAGUAUUGGAUGUCUAUAAAGGGCCACUCCUCCUUCACAUCUGAAACAAACCACCAUCUCAUUUCUGUAUUUUCAUACUUUCAUAUAUUUUCUACUUUCCAGAUUAUUAUUUUUGGGCAACGGUUUUGUGACUUGGAGAUUUCUAUCCGAUUGUUAACAUGCUCAUAACGGACCUUGAGCUUGCGUAUUGGGGAUCGUAUCUUGGAGCCUUGUAGACCUUUAUUACGUGCAUGUAGGGAGGCUACAAAUGCUUUAGGUCAGCGUCUUUGACGUACUUUUGCUUUCUUUUUUUACUUAUUUCUUCGUUUCUUUAUUUUUACUUUACUUUUAAAUCUUUAUUUUAUGUAUUAUUUAUAUUUAAAAGUUUUGAAUAAGAGUUUUACAGAAAAGGAAAAACACAAUUUCAAAUAACACAAAUUUCUCGUUUUUUGUUCUUAAAAAAGAAGAAGCAUUGAUUGGGGAGUUAUGGUAAACUCAGUUUCAAUGGUUGCGAUGAGAGGCGGUGGCGGCGAGGAGAGGACGAAGGCUUUGCUGCCGACGGGGUGGUGUGGCUGGCUGCUUGGUCCUGGGUUCUCCUUUAAUUCUCUGUUUUCUUUUUUCAUUUUCUUUUUCUCUUAGAGUUAUUGAUGUUAAGUGAAUGGACAGAUGCCAAAAUAGGGACAGAAGAUGUGAACCCAAUUAUAUACAGCUGCUGCUAUAGCUGAUUACAUAAAGUAACAAAUUAAUUAAUGCUUGAGUGGAGGACAGGCUUGAGUGGAAGAAUUGAUUAAGGCUUGAGUGGAAGACAAACUUCAGUGGAGGAAAGUAUAGAUAAGGAAAGCAUGCCUCGUUUAACGGCUUUAUCUAAUAAAGAUUACUUGUUGGCACUUGGAGUUUCUUAGGAAUGCUGGUUUUGUUUCCUUGGUGGACUUGAAAGGUGGUGCCUUGGCUCGGACAUCUCCCAAGACAUACAACUGCUCAUUAGCUGAAUAUCUCGCUCUCUUUAAAGAGAUCGAAGCAAACACAAUUUGCAAUUUGUGUGAUUCAAGCAUGAAUAUCUGAUAUAGUAACUAUACCAUUUGUUGGUUUGAUAAGAAAAGUUUGGUUAGCGAGGAUGAAACCAUAAAGUUCCCAAAACACACAAAGAACACGGACAAUUGCUAAGUUUAUUCUUGAGUUCACACAUAUUUGCACAAAUGAGAUUAUUCCAAGCAUGAUUAUACCAUUUGUUGGUUUGAUGUGAAAAGUAUGGGCAACGAGGGGUAAAACCAUACAAACACACACGAAGAACGUGGACAAUACUAAAUUUAUCUUUACGUUAUUGAUCCGACCUAACUGUAAAAUAAAAAAGAUGAAAAUAUAUAAUGUUCAGUACUUAGAUCUAUGAGCACUUGCACAAAACAUCACUUUUGGUCUUUGGUAAAUUUUUAAAAUAAAUGAAUUUUUUACUUAUUUGUGAACUGAAAUGCCUCUAAAAAAAUAAUGAUAGUUCGAAGAAUUUGAUAGAAAUUAAAAAAUAUCCUCAAAUUACUUGGAAUUGAAGACCACAUAGGCAAAAACACGAAAUUGAAACCUCACUUUAAUGAUAAAAAUGGUAAACUACAAAGACAAAAAUGACGUCUUGCCUUAUAAAUAAUUGGAAUUUGCUGGUGAUAAUAGUCGAUAUCAUCUUUUGUCGGUCCGACCUAAAAAGAAGAAAAAGUUAAAAGCAUCUUGUACCAAUUUUUGCCAAUGUGGGCCCAAACAAUUUGAAGAAGUCCACCGGCAAUUUCUCAAAAGCUAUUGUGUGAGUGUGAAGCUAAACCAAUAUUAUUUUGCAUAUCCGACCCCACAUCCCCAUGUGAUGUGAGGCUACAGAGGUGUUUCCAAAACGAAAUAUGAUAUUUCAAAACGUAGCUAUGUAUAGAGUCAUUUGUAUUUGCUUUCACAAUAACAUUUGAUUUUAUAUUUAUACAUUCUGAUAUUUUAACAAAUAAAUUGACUAAAUUUGGCCAACAGGAUUUAGCCGAAUAGAAAAGUUCUUAUUUAUGGACUAGUAAUUUUAAAUUUAAAAUUUAGACUAUCGCAUGUAUUUAAAAAAAACUAAACAAUUGGCUUAAUUUGAUAUAUUUCCUUUUUUUCCUUUUUGCAUUUUAUGCUGGUUGCCGUUAUUAAGUUUUAUCCUUAUUUUUUGUUGAAAAGAAAAUUGAAAAAAAUAAUAAUAAUUCCUACAGCUAGCAACUUCUCCACCUACAAAAAAUAAUAUUUUUUGUUUUAUCCUCAUGUGAGGCUACAGAAAAUUUUUGAAAACGAAACUGGAUAUUUUAUCUCUAACGACAGCUUUCAUACUUCGUUUACCCUGUGUUUCCAAGUUGUGCUAGCUAUUUGCAAACCUUGGAAUAUUACUUCAUCCAAAUCCCUUGCAGAGAAAAGAAAGAUAUGGCUUUGAUCGGAGAGGCCCUCAUCUCUGCUACCAUCCAGACGUUGUGUGACAAAAUUGCUUCGCCUGAGUUCACCGACUUAUUUCGGCAGAAAAAGCUCGAUGAACAACUCCUCAACAAGCUGAAGACGACGCUGUUGACCUUGUCCGUAGUGCUUAAUGAUGCAGAGGAGAAGCAAAUUGAGGAACCUUUAGUGAGAGACUGGCUUGACAAUCUCAGACAUAAUGUCUUGGCUGCGGAGGACUUACUGGAUGAAAUCGACACUGAAGCUUUGCGAUGCAAACUGGAAGAAGGUGAAGGUCAAACCCACAAUUUAACCAAGAAGGUACGUGAUUUUUAUCAACGCAUGAAUGUUGAGAUGAAAGAUUUAUUAGAAAGAUUAGAACAAUUUGUACAAGAGAAAAGUGCUCUUGGUUUGAGAGAAGGUGCUGGGAGGAAGGUUUCACGAAGAACAACAACUUCCUUGGUUCAUGAACCUUGUGUCUAUGGUAGAGAUGAAGUCAAAGAAAAUCUGUUGCCAAUUUUGUUAUCUGAUGAUGCAAGUAAGGAUGAUGUGUCUGUCCUCACCAUUGUUGGAAUGGGUGGGAUUGGCAAGACAACCCUUGCCCGACUGCUUUAUAAUGACGAUGAGGUGAAAGAACAUUUUCCACUUCACGCUUGGGUUUGUGUUACGGAAGACUAUGAUUCUAAUAGGAUAACUAAAACUCUUCUAGAGUCAGUCACCUCAAAGUCUUCUAAUAUGACAGAUCUAAAUUUACUUCAAGUUGAACUAAAAGAACAACUCAAGGGAAAGAAAUUCUUAUUUGUUUUGGAUGACCUAUGGAAUGAGAAAUAUGGUGAUUGGAAACGCCUCCAAACUCCUUUUACUUCUGGGGCAAGGGGAAGUAAAGUCAUUGUAACAACACGGAGCCAACAUGUAGUAUCUGUCCUGCAAAGUGUUCAUGUUCAUCACUUGGAACCCUUGUCGCACGAAGAUUGCUGGUUCUUACUUGCAAAACAUGCAUUUGGAAAUGAAAAUUGCAGUGAUCCAAACUUGGAAGAAAUUGGCAAGAAAAUUGCACACAAGUUCAAUGGGUUGCCUUUAGCUGCAGAAACACUUGGGGGUUUGUUACGUUGCAAUAUAGAUUCAGAGGAAUGGAAUACAAUACUAAAUAGCAGUAUUUGGGAGCUACCCUAUGAUAAAUGUGACAUUCUUCCGGCUCUUGGGUUGAGUUACCAUUAUCUCUCCUCCCAGUUAAAACGAUGCUUUGUUUAUUGUUCAAUUUUUCCAAAGGAUUAUGAGUUUAAAAAGGAAGAUAUAGUUCAAUUUUGGAUGGCAGAAGGUUUAAUUCCAAAAGCUGAGAAUGGAAAGAGCAUAGAAGCGGUAGCUAGAAAAUACUUUGAUGAGCUGUUGGCACGAUCGCUAUUUCAAAAGUCAAGCAAAUCCGGUUUCACAAUGCAUGAUCUCAUUAAUGACUUGGCCAUGUUCAUGUGUAAGGCAUUUUGCCUUAGGUUGGAAGGGGGGGAAUCACAUGUCGUAGAAAAAGUUCGGCAUUUUUCAUAUGCUAUGGAAAGAUUUGAUGCAGCUCCAAAAUUUGAGCCAUUACAUAGGGCUAAGUUUAUGCGGACCUUUCUACCCAUAUCAUUAAAUUUUGUUUCCACUUCUUAUGUAACUAAAAAGGUUCUACAAGAUUUGUUGCCGUCACUAAGAUGUUUACGGGUGUUAUCAUUGUCACAUUAUCAAAAUGUUACUGUGUUACCUGAUUCUAUUGCAAACCUCAUUCACUUGCGCUACUUGGAUCUUUCCGGUACCGCAAUUGAAAGGUUACCUGGGGUACUUUGCAAUCUCUACAACUUGCAGACAUUACUAUUGUCAAAAUGUUUCUCACUCCUUGAAUUGCCUGCAGACAUUAGAAAAUUGACUAAUUUACAGAAAUUGACAUUGCUCGGUUGUAGUUCUCUUAAUAAAUUGCCUGCAGGCAUGAAGGAGUUGACUAAUUUGCAUCAUCUUGAUGUCAGUGGAACUAAAAUUGAAGAGAUGCCGGUGCAAAUGGGUAGAUUGAAAAGUUUGAGAACAUUGACUGCAUUUGUUGUGGGCAAAUCUACUGGGUUAGGCAUAAGAGAACUGAGGCAGUUCCCGCAACUUCGAGGAAAACUAUCAAUUUUGAAGCUACAAAAUGUAGUUGAUGCGAGGGAUGCACUGCACGCCAAUAUGAAGCACAAGAAAGAUCUCAAGGAGUUAAAGUUUUCAUGGGGUGCGGAGGAUGCUGAUGAUUCCCAAAAGGAGAAAGAUGUACUCGACAAGCUCCAGCCUUGCGUGAAUUUGGAGAAAUUAUCCAUCAAAUUCUAUGGUGGAACCAAUUUUCCGAAUUGGUUAGGAGACUCGUCUUUUUCUAACAUACAAGUCAUGCAUCUCAGUGACUGUAGUUAUUGUUGGUUGCUCCCACCAGUUGGACGGCUACCGGCACUCAAAGAGCUCUGUAUAAAAAGAAUGAAGUCUUUGAGGACGAUUGGCGUUGAAUUCUAUGGCAGAAAUGGAGCUUAUCUGACUCAGCCAUUUCGAUCUCUGGAGAAGCUAGAGUUUAGGGGGAUGCCGGAGUGGGAGGAAUGGGUACCAAGUGGAAGUGCAAGUGGAGGUGAAUAUGGUCCAGACUUUCCUCGUCUCCAAAAGCUGAUUCUAAACGAGUGUCCGAAGCUAAGAGGAAGUUUGCCUUGUGAGUUGCCUUGCUUGAAGAAGCUUACGGUGUAUGGGUGUAAGGUUUUACAUGAUGGAAGGACCGCUACCGCAACUACCAAUAGUGUUAACUAUAAAUCUCUGGAAGAAUUGGAUAUAAGUGGUGGAUGCCAAACUCUGUUAUCAUUAUUAGAGACAAAGCUCCUGUCCCGACUUCGGAUUCGAAAUGUUGUUGACAUACAGUGCUUGCCCAACUGCAAUCGUCUUCAACGUUUGACUCUUUGCCUAACGCUGUCAUCGUUUCCCAAAGAUGGCCUACCCACUACAUUGACAUCACUUUAUAUAAACAAUUGUAGGAAAUUAGAAUUCCUACCUCAUGAGAUGUUGGCCAAAUUAACAUCGCUUGACUAUUUGUGCGUACAAAAUAGCUGUGAUUCAAUGAGGUCCUUCCCGUUGGGCAUUUUUCCCAAAUUGACGACGCUUCAAAUUCGUGGUUGUGAGAAUCUGGAAUCUUUUUCCUUGAUUGAAGAAGAAGGAGCUGUUGACAAUCUCAGCCAUCUCAAUUCCUUGCGUGUCUAUAACUGUCCAAAAAUGGUGUGUUUUCACGAGGGAGAAUUGCCCACUCCCAACCUGAGUCACUUUGUAGUCAUUGGUUGCGAGAAUUUGAAGUCAUUGCCCGAACGCCUUCACACCCUCACUGCCCUUCGAUCUUUGAAUAUAUGGAAUCUUCCGAAUCUGGAGUCAUUUGCAGAAGAUGGGGGUUUGCCUCCCAACCUCCGAUCUUUUAUCAUUAGGAAUUGUAAGAGACUGAGGGCACUUGACUCAGUGGGUUUGCAAGCACUUGUCUACCUUCAGAUCGAUGGAAGUGACCAUGUCUUGGAGACGUUGCUGCUCCCUACCACUCUUCACACUCUCUGCAUCUCUGAUCUAUCAACUCUGAAAUCUUUGGACGGAAAGGGUCUUGGACACCUCACUUCUCUUCAAACUCUAAAAAUUUACAGCUGUCCAAGUCUUCAAUGCCUGCCAGAAGAGGGUUUGCCGCCAUCUCUUUCUCAUCUGAGUAUCCGCUGUUGUCCUACCCUGGAGGAAAGGUAUAAGAAUAAAACGGGACAAGAUUGGGCAAAGAUAUCUCACAUUCCUUGCAUCGAGAUAGGGGAAGAAGUGAUCAUAUAAUAUGAGCUAUUCCAUAUUUCACGCUCAACCCUCAACUCUCAAAUCAAAGUCAGGUGAGGUAUGUGCCUUCUCUUACUUUAAAAAACUGCUUCUCUUCUUCUAAUUGAAUACAAAAACCAAAACACAUAUUCUCUUUCUCUUCCAAAAACCCAAAUACAUGUUGGACAUUGCCCAAAUUUGUCUCCAAAUUCCUAGUUUAAAUCAAAUUUAAUGCCUAUGGAUAGUUUGUUAAUAGGUUCAUGCCAUGAAUUAAUCUUUGGACUUUCCCAGGUACUGCAGGUUUGUUAUUAAUGUUGUGGCCUGAUAUUCGUCGUAUCAAUACGUUGAGGAGAGAGAUCGAUCAGCAAUUACAAAAUUGUUAGUGAAUUUAGCUUGUUUAUCAUCUCUCUCCUUUUGUUUGUUAAGUUUUGUUGUUCUAGGUUAAACCCUUGUCCCCGCAUUUCACAGCAACUCUGUGUUUUUCCACUCUGUUUAGAUUUCACUAGCAGGAGAGCCCGCGCGAUGCUGCGGGUUUUGAAAUUGUGUAGACAAAAUUAGAUUGUUUAUAUAUACAAUGAGAUUUAAUUUAUAACAUUAUGUUUAACUACAGGAGUGUAAGUUGCAAAAAAGUAUAUAAUAACAUAUUUUACAGGCUACUUGUUAUGGUAAAAUACUAUACUUGUUUGUAUAUACAUUGAGAUGUUUAUAGUAGGAAGUAGGCAUCAAAAUAGCAAAAGUUGGAUAGUUUUGUACAGAAUGUUAUUUAAUUGGGCAAGCUUUGUUUUGCACUUGCUUCAUGAUUUUUCUUCUCUUUCAUGGAAGUCUUGAUCCUGUUAUAAAAAAAAGUGAGAAAAUAGUAAAUGUUAAUAUUGAUGAAUGGGGGAAAUUGAGUUAGGACAAUAAUCAUAAACAUUUAAUUAUGUAUAAACAGGAAUAAUAUAAUUUAUUGAUUUAAUAAGAAAGUUAUAAAUAGUUUUUCAAUCUAGGAAAUACAAAGUUACAAAAUUAAGAGAACUAAUGAGCAAGUUGUAGAUGGUUUUCUAAUUGAAGUAAUACAAAGUAAACAUAUUUUAAAUUUUGUGUUUGUCUAAAAGAAAAGUUGAAGAGAGGCAAAAUAAUUAUGGUUGAAUAUAUGGAGAAAAGGAUGUCAAUAUAAUGUUUAGGUUUUUAUGUAUUAGGAAUAUAUGACUUUUUUGCUGUUAUUUAGAGCAAAAAUUAUUUAAGGGCUUGACAUUUCUGUUAAAAAACGGGUAGAAUCUACCCUGAAAAAUGGACAUUUUGCCAAAAAAUUCACCUGUAAACUAAUUAGUACUGAAUACCGAUUGGCGAAGGCAAGACAAUCAUAGUUGUGGAGUACAUAGUUAGAAAGAUGAAUGUGCAAACGUACAUCUAACCCCAUGAUAUACAUCUAACCCCAUGUGAACAUGAUUUAUUCUACAACAAUGAUUAUCAAUUUUCUAAUUGCUCAUUUUCCUAACCCUAAUCAUCACAAACCCAAAAUUAACUCUAAAAAUUUCAAAUAAGCAUGGUUCUAAACCAAUUUCUAACUUACUUAGCGAAGUCUUUUCUAUAAAUGAUAGUUGUUGAAGAAAAAGGGAAACGAAAAUAAGCUUUUAGUGUAUAAGUACAUUGAAGCAAAACAUGAAGAGAAUCCAAUAUAUAACUUCAAUAUAUAACUUUAAUUUUCUAUAAGUGUUGAUCUAAAUUUACAUCCCUUACCACUCUUCAAUUUAAAAAUAGUUUUAGCUACAACAAACAACUUCAGAGAGAAGAUUUGGCCCUGUUUUAUAAGGCAAAACCUCUCUAACCACAUGACAUACAUCUAACUCCAUGUGAACGUGAUUUAUUCUACAACAAUGAUUAUCAAUUUCCUAAUUGCUCAUUUCCCUAACCCUAAUCAUCACAAACCCAAAAUUAAUUCUAAAAAUUUCAAAUAAGCAUGGUACUAAACCAAUUUCCAACUUACUUAGUGAAGUCUUUUAUAUAAAUGAUAGUUGUUAAGGAAAAACGGAAACAAAAAUAAGCUUUUAGUGUAUAUGCACAGCACAGAAAUUGCAUGUAGCUUUCCGAUUUUUAUCCCAACUUCGUUUCUGUGGAAUCACAAAACUACAUACGCACAGCACAGGGAAGGGAAAAAAAAAAAAAGGCACAUUUAAGAGACACCUAUCUUCUCAUUCUACAUCACAUCCUCUUUUCCUAGCUUUCCAACCUUGCAACCAAAGCAAACAUCUUUCCUGAUAAAGGGUAGGAAAGAAAGUGGUUGUGUGAAUUGGGAUGAGAGAGACAGAGACAGAGACAGAGACAGAGAGACAAAGAGAGAGAGAGAAAAGAGAAAUCAAAGUAUAUAUAUAAAUAGUAAGUAUAGUUUAUAUCAUGCAAAGUUUUGAUGGUUUCGUUCAAAAAAAAAACAGGGAAAAAGUUUUGAUGGGUAAUUCUAGUAAUAAUGUUCUUAUAAUUCUAUAUAUAUAUAGAUAUCAAACUGUACUACCAUAUUCUUCCUAUAUAUACACUUGGUCGUCAACUACCUCUCUCUCUCUCUCUCUCUCUCUCUCUCUCUCUCUCUCUCUCUCUCUCUCUCUGUGACCUGCAUUUAUACAGAACCAAUUAUUCCAUCUUCACUAUACAUUUUCCUCAUCUUCCCAUUCAUAUUUUAUGGCUCUCUUGUUCUUCCUCCUAAUUCUUUUGGUCCCUGCAAGCAAUACUAAUUGGCCACCAUCACCUGGCUACUGGCCAAGUUCUAAAUUCAGGUCUAUGAGCUUUUAUAAAGGAUUUAAAACUCUCUGGGGUCCUCAGCAUCAAAGCUUAGACCAACAUGCAUUAACAAUCUGGGUUUAAUGAGGCCAGAAAAUUUUAAGAACUUAUCUACCAAGCAUACCAAACUGACAAAGCAAACCAUAUCUGUAUUUUAUCAUCAAUUUCAUCAAUUUUAUCACCAACAACAGAUAAAAAAAGGGAAUUUUUUCAAAAAAAAAAAAAAGGAAAAAACAUAAAUAAAAAAAGGGGCACAUUUAAGAGAGACCUAUCUUCUCAUUCUACAUCACAUCCUCUUUUCAUUUUGAAGCGGUCAUGUGUUGUGAGUUUCUUGUUUUAUAAAUUUUCAAAACUGUUGUUUAGAACUGCAAAAUUCUUCAUCAUAUAUCUUGCCUUCUAAUAUACAUUCUGUAUCAGGAAACUGGAAUGAGGCUUGCUCUUUGAGGAAGAGAAAUAAAAGAAAAAGUUGUGGCAAAGGUUCACGGAUGUAGUUGGAUUGUAGUGGGACAGAGAACAAAUUUAUUUGUUGCAGGGGAAAAGUCUCAUCCAAAUGCUAUGAAAUCAUGGCAACUUUAAAGUAUUGGACAGCAAUAAUGAAAGAAGAGGGCUAUGUUGGUGACACAGAUUCUUGCUUGCAUGAAUAAGAGGGAGAAAAGCCCCUAUGGUAUUGACUGUUGCCGCCAAGUGCAUAUUGUUAUUACUAUGCGUACUACAUCCCAAGGCCUCUCUCAGCAGGAUUACAAAGUAAACCAGAAUUACUAUCCCAGCAGUAUUCUGCAACUUUGCUCUGCACUUCCUUAUGUAAUCUCUCUCUCUCUCUCUCUCUCUCUCUCUCUCUAUAAAUAUAUAUAUACACACACACACACACACACACAUAUAUCUAGGCAUGCAUAUUUAUGAGUUCCCCAUUGAGGAGGGAUUCCCUUUUGAGGAUUUUAUAAUUAGAAUUAGACUGCCUUCUUAACCAAUAGUUGGGUUUGUGUGGUAAGGUAUGCUGGGUUUGUUGAUGUGGAUAUUUAUGCCUGGAGGUGCUUUGUUUUACUACUUCGUUGAAGUAGAAACAGACACUGACAAAGAAGCCCUUCAUUCUUUGUCUCAAUAGUGAUUGGUUUCUUUGAUCCUAUUCAUCAUAUCUGGUGGUGAGGUUGCCUAAUCAGCCAAAUGUUGGGUUCAACUACCUCUCUCUCUCUCUCUCUCUCUCUCUCUCUCUCUGUCUCUCUCUCUCUUUCUCUCUCUCUCUGUGACCUGCAUUUAUACAGAGCCAAUUAUUCCAUCUUCACUUUACAUUUUCCUCAUCUUCCCAUUCAUAUUUUAUGGCUUUCUUGCUCUUCCUCCUAAUUCUUUUGGUCCCUGCAAGCAAUACUAAUUGGCCACCAUCACCUGGCUACUGGCCAAGUUCUAAAUUGGCCAGAAAAUUUUAAGAACUUAUCUACCAAGCAUACCAAACUGACAAAGCAAACCAUAUCUGUAUUUUAUCAUCAAUUUUAUCGCCAACAACAGAUAAAAAAAGGGAAUUUUUUCAAAAAAAAAAAAAAAAAAGGAAAAAACAUGUUUAGUCUUUGCUUUCCAAUGUUUUAUCCAAAAACCUGAAAAUCAAAGUAACUAAAUAAAUGAACCCAAUCAUUCCUAAUUUCUAUUUUGUCAAAACCUAAUUAAGCUUCACUUCUUUUUUGCUUGUAUUUUAUCAUCAAUUUCAUCUAUUUUAUCACCAAUAGCAGAUAAAAAAAGGAAAUUUUUUCAAUUAAAAAAAAAAAAAACAUACUCAGUCUUUGCUUUCCAAUGUUUUAUCUAAAAACCUAAAAUCAAAGGAAUCAAAUAAAUAGGGUUUAGGGCUCAAGAACCUGAAAUCAAAAGAACCAAAAAAAUGAACACAACUCUACAUAGCACGAAAAAUCUCCCAGCCAACAAUCAAAUUCAUGAAAUAAAUACCAAAAGAUCUGUUAAAAAAUUGAUGAGAUGCAUACCUGAAAACAAAGGAUGCAACAAAGAUGGAAGCCUGAGUCGAAGCAAGAACGAUGGAAGCCUGAGUCGAAGCAAGAAAGAUGGAAGCCUGAGUCGAAGGUUGUAGAAAAGACGAAAUCUCCCGAUCCCAAAUCUGUGACACGAAGACUGAAAGCACGGCUGGAUUUGCAGCUCACCUCCCAAACAAAAAUCGACGGCCUUCAACGCAUCUCCAGCAACGAACACAACUCUUCCAUGGCUGCCCCCCAACCAGCUGGUUGGAAACGAACGGGAGAAAAUGGUUUCUCUCAGCGGACGAAACCAUCUCAACGAAGGGGGAGGGGCAAAAACGGGAACAAAAGAAACUGUUUAGUCAAGGGCAGUUUCGUCAUUUAACUGUGCUGCAGGAAAAAAAACGAAAACAGCAGAAAAAUGAGGGGCAUUUCCGUCAUUACACUGUGCUUAGCUACAGUGUUUAGUUGCAUUGGGUUUUAGUAUAUAUAUAAUUUAUGUUGUGAUUCGACUGCUGCUGUAUUUUAGAUUUAUAGGAACAGACCAAACAUGUUGAUUCUAUCACCAAAAUUAUAAAGUAUACUUCCAUUACAAUUAAUUUGUUGAUUCUAAUUUGGACUUGUAGGAACAGACCAAACAUGUUCAUACGUGGCAUUGCUCAAGUCAUCAUCAUUCGGGACAGAGAAUAAGCCUUCAAAUGUCUGCUGAGUCAAUGAACCUUUCUAGAUAUCUCAAGUGUAAUGGAAAUUGAUGAGUUACAAAGGAUUUGUAAACAUUUUCUACUGGAGGCUAGAAAUGCUUCAAAUAAAUGACUCUGUUGCAAUUAUUUUGUAGGAUCAAAGACUCUGCAAAGAGGUAAGAAAGUCAUCAUCAAGUAACUUCGCUCUUCAUACUUUUUAUUAGGGGUGGGCAUUGGAACCGCAAAACCGCAAAACCGAACCAACCCAAUCCGAAAAAAACCGAAAAAAACCGUGUUGACCGAAAAAGUCAAAAACCGAGACAAAUCCAAACCGAACCGGUUCAGACCGGUUCCGGUUCCGAUUUUCCACCUUAAGGAACCGGUCCAAUCCGAACCGGUCCAAUAUAAUUAAUUUUUAUAUUAUAUUUAUAUUUAUAUUUAAAAUAUCAAAUUUUGUAGGCCCAAACCCAACUAUUUCAUUAUACCAACAAAAAGCCCAAAUCUCCCAAGUCCAUUGCCCAAGUCCAACAAGCCAUAUUUUAAUAUCCUAAUCACAUCAAAUCUCACUUCACUCUCUCUCUCUGACGCACUCUCUCUUUUCCUCUCAGAUUUUUUUUACUCUCUUUUUCUUUCUUUCUUCUCUCUUCCGCCUCUUUUCCUCUAGGUUCUUUAACUUCUUUUUACUUCUUUCUUUCUUCACUCUUCUGCCUCUUUUCCUCAGUUUUUUCUUCUUCUUUCUCUCUUAUUCUUUCUCCUCUCAAUUCGUCUCCAUUUUUUUUCCCUCUCUUUCUCUGAUUUUCUGUUACUCUGAUUUUUUUCUUCUUGGUUUUAUGUUUCUCUCUCUCCCUCUAUAUCUCUUUCUUUGCAACUCUGUUUUUCAAUUUCUCCUUUUUUUUCUCUCUUCAUUUUUUGUUUCUCUGUACAUAUAUGUGUUCAUCUUGUAGAUCUGGGUGAAAUUCUUGUAGAUCUAGGUGAAGUUCUUGGAGAUCUGCGUUAAGUUCUUGUAGAUCUAGGUAAAGAGCCAAUUCAAAGCAGGUCAGCGUCUCUUAUCUCCCCAAUCCCUUGUGAAGAUAUGUAUUUUUUUUGUUGUCAACAAUCCAUUUUGGUGUUUUUAUAUGGUAUUGAUAUUUUCUAUGAUUUUGGGCUGAUUUGAGGUCUGAUUCUUUUUUUUUCUUUCAAUUUUUUCCUGUUGUGUUUUGAUAGACAUGUUCUCUAUUCCUGAUAUCAUUCCUCAGUGGCAAAAUCUUUGAGCGUUGUUGUAAAUUUUAGACGGGAAAGAAGCUCAUUCAUAAUUCAAAAAAAGAAAAUAAAGUUACAACAACUGACAAUUUGUUGCUCUUUGAAAUAGGUACUGAAGUAGCAUGGAUAAAAAGAAAGACUGAAGAUGUUGCAGAAGAUUGAAUAUGUUCUAUUUCUGUAAUUUGUUUGUAAUUAAAUUUGUUUAUUUUGUUUUGUUUUUAGGUUGUAAGUUUUAUUUUAAUGUUUGAUAUUUGUUGUUUUGUCAAAAAAUUGUAUUAAUGCUUGAUGGAUUCAUUCAAUUUGCAGUGCGUGGAUGUGAAUUGGGCCAAUCGGUAAUAAUUAGGCCCAAAAGGUUUUAAAUAUCAAUUGGGCUGAAACUUACAAAAAAAUUUAAGAACAAAAAAAAAAUCAAUUAAGCUGUGUGUCGGCCCAAACCGUAAAAACCGGAACCGAACCGGAUUCAAAUGGGUUCGGGUUGGUCCGGUUUUCUCAAGCAUUUUAGUAAAAAUCCGAACCGGACCGGACCGGUGAACAGUACCGGUUCCGGUUUUAAAUUGAUGCAAAAACCGGUCCAAACCGGACCGUGCCCACCCCUAUUUUUUAUUUUUAUUUUUAAAUAUCAGUAAUAACUGGGAAAGCUUGCAUCUCCUUAAAUUGCUCAUUCUUACAUCUUUUAUAGUUUGUUGAUCUUGGGCAAGUGGAGAGAGAGGCGUCAAGUGAUACGCAACAACCAUUUUCUGUGAGCUGAUUUGAUAAAGAGAAAUGGUAUGCUUUCUUGUCUUAAGCGGUGUGUUCUGCAAUUAUUUGAAACAAAGGAUGCCGCACUUCAAGUUCGAGAAAAUCAGGUAUUUUAGUAUUUUAUUCUUGAGAAAUUUGAUUUAUGUAGAAACUUGAACAUGUAAAUGAGAGAAAAAAAAAUAAAUAUAUAUAUAUAUUAUAUAUUGUAUAUGCUGUUAAUGAGUUAAUAUGGUGCUUGCUCCUAGUUGGAAAUUUAUGUAGUCAUCUACCUAUGAUCAAAUAAAGAUGAAAAAUAAAAUAAAAUUGAGAGCAUCUUCCUCUCCCCUGCUUUGCUCAUCCCUUGUUCUUCCACUUCAGCCCCACUAUUACACCAUUUUUUUCAGCCACAAUUAUAAUAGCUCCAUGAGCAUUAAGUCCCUUUCAAAUUCUGCUGACAUUCAAAAUUGGAAUCUGCUGGUGAUAUAUGAUAGCGUUAACAUAUUGUACCAUUUUGGCCAGUGUACGCAAUAUUAUUGCAUCCAACUUUGCAUAUUAACAUCAGUGGCCACAGUUACACGAUUUGAGUGCACAGAAAGGUUUCAAAAGUUGUCCCACAGAGAACAGUCGUUCAAAGUGAGAGAGUUUUGAAAGCUUAAUUACAAGUUCAUGUUGUUUACAACCUCAAAAAGCUUUCAUACUUGCUUACAAACCUGUAUUUCCAAGUUCUGCAAACCUUGGAAUAUCACUUCAUCCAAAUCCCCUUCCAAAGCAGGAAAAAAUGGCAGCAGCUUUGAUUGGAGAGGCUCUCAUCUCUGCUUCUAUCGAGGUGUUGUGUGACAGAGUUACUUCAGCCGAGUUCAUAGACUUAUUUCAGCAGAAGAAACUUGAUGAAACACUCCUCAUGAACCUGAAGACGACACUGUUGAUUUUGUUUGCGGCGCUCAAUGAUGCAGAGGAGAAGCAAAUUGUGAACCCUGCUGUGAUAGAGUGGCUUAACAGCUCAAGCAUGCUGUCUUUGAUGCAGAGGACUUACUUGAUGAGAUUGACACUGAAGCUUUGCGAUGCAAGCUGGAAGGUGAGGAUCAAACCCACAAUAAUUAACCAACAAGGAUCUUUUUGAUUGUUUGAAAGGAGGGUCUUUGAUGAUUUGAAAGGAGAGGGUUGCUUCAUUUCUGUUGGAUGCUUAAUUAAAUCUUAUCUGGACUUGAACAAGGAUUAGGUUAGCUGUAUAAUUCGUGGUAAACACCUUUUUCUAAGGUUCAUUUAGACUCCUAUUACGAUUAAUUUGUUGUUUCUAAUUUGGACUUGUAGGAACAGACCAAAUAUGUUCACACGUGGCAUCGUUCAAGUCAUCAUCAUUUCAGACAAAAUCAGCCUUCAAGUGUCUGCUGACUCAAUGAACCUUUCUAGAUAUAUCAAGUGCAAUGGAAAUUCAAGAGUUACAUAGAGAUUUGUAAACAUUUUGAAGAUUGCAACACCUGCAAGUGAGAUAGGUGGUGACGAAAUCAGAGCUGAUCUUGAAGCCUCUGAUGCCCCUGUCGUUGCAAGUUGCACCUGAGAACAUGGUUUUUUUUUGGGUAAAAAACCAGCAACAUGUUCGGGGCUGGCAAUUCAAUCCCUGAUGAACUUGAGAAGCAAAGCUCCAGUAAGGAAAUUGGUCGAGGUCACGACAGGGAUAAUUGAUGGUGAAAUGGAUGCUAUUUCUUAUUGCAGCCUGUUCUCAAAGUUCUUGUUGGCAAAAGCAAGAGAUGGAGUAUUUUGAUUGGGAGGAGAGAUAAUGACAUGUGUUGACAAUUCUAGAACAGCCCAUCUGAGUUCUUUUGUCAGGCUGCAUCAUUUAAUCCCAGCAAAAAUCCAGUUUUUGCUAAACAAUCAAAUUGUACACAUUUUUUCUUUUCGAGGAAUUUAACAUUACACAUUUUUUCAUUUUUUCAUCAAACAGUUUUCUAAUGCAUUUGUUGUCCCAAGUUACAAUGAGGAAUUUGGAUUGAGUUUCUUGUGUUAAUAACAUUAUACUUUCAUGGAAUGGUUUAUCUUCUUUUUCUGGACAAAAAUAUUUAGAUUAAUUUCUUGGAAUAAUUUUUUAAUAAUUUUUUAAUUGCAGUAGCGAAAAAAGGAAAAUUGUAUUUUUCAAAACCAAUCUUAAGUCCAGUUUCCUCUUCUUGGUCGUCACACUUGGAAAUUGCUAACCAUAUAUAACUUGGGGUAACAAUCUUAGUCCGAAUGUGUACGAUCUUAGUCCGAUCAAUGGCUACGCGUAUUGGCUCGGCCUUGGGGUCUACCAUUCCAGUGUACAAGCUUCCUGGGUCUUGGGGCAAUUCCUUCAAAUUGUACACAUGUUUUCUUUGAGAAGCAAGGCUCUAGUAAGGAAAUUGGUUAUGUAACAAAUUUUGGUCCCUUUGGAUGGAAUGAUUUACAAUGAGGAAUUUUAUUAUUAUUAUUUUGUUUUUGUUGUUAGUGUAAUGAAAAUGAUCUAGGUUCAUACACUGGGUAUAGCUCUAAUUUGGCCAAUUUCAUUAUUUUAGUUUCUUCAUAUUUUCAAUUAUUAUAAUUUGGUGCGUUGUUUUUUAAAAACAUUCAUGAGAAUCUCCAUUUUUUAGGUGUUUAAGUUAUUCAUCCACAACGGUUUUAUAAUACCGUCAUCUUUUCAAACACAACGAUGAUUUUUUAAUCUAUCGUCGUUGUUUUCUGAUCGUCUUUUUCACUUUUUGUAGUAGUGUCAAUAAGUAAGAUGAAAUAAUACAUUCACAAUCUGUUUAAAUUUUAAAUUAAAAAAAACACAAGAAAAUUUUAAAUAAGUAAGUAAUUUUAAAUAUAUAUUUCCAUUGUUUUGGUUUUCUUUUCAUAUUAGUUUUCUACUAGCUGCUAAUUUCAUUUAAAUUGUUUUUCUUACUUCAUUUAACUUUUAAGCAUGCAGAUGCAAUCAUGACUUCUUCUUUUUUUCAAUAGACUGAUUCUCUUCCCACAUAUAUAAUGCUCUCUAAGUAUUCGUAAUAUGAGUAGGAAUUUAUUUUCAUUUCACAAGAAUUGUCCAUCAAAUUCUGAUAGGUUUGUCGAUAGCACAAGCAUGCACAUAUAGACACUACAAGAACUUUGUUUCUUCAUUUUGUUUCCUAAAGAUUUGUUGGCUUCGUGCAGAUGAAUAACAAGUCUCUCUGUCCUCUAUUUCUUCUUUUUCUUUUUUAACAAUUCAUAUUCUACUUUCUGUUUUCACCCAGUAAAAAUUGAUUUUAGACAUGGGCUUCUAAAUUAUGUGCGGAUAAUGGUUGCAUUUAUAGAAUAUCCAUGGGCUUCUAGUCACCGUGGUUGUUGAUUCAGCAUGUCAUAUUACUCUUGGACUAGCUGUUGACACUACUACAUUUUACACUUUGCGCGACGAAGAACAAAACGUCGCGCAAAGUCGCAUUUAGUCGCCCCAAUUUCAGCGCGACAAAAACGUCGUCGCGCAUAUUCCGUCGCGCGAAGAUCGUGAAGAAAGCCUUUGCACGACGAGGUACAACCCUUCGUCGCGCAAAAGUGUGCGACGGGUAAACCAUCGUUGCACCAACGGUGUGGAGACGAAACAACCCUUCGUCGCAAAAAUAUUUGCGCGACGAUAAAUUAUGCGGCGCACGUAUAUUUGCGAGACGACGGGAAUUGCGCGACAAAACAUUAUUCGUCGCGCAAAAUAUGUAUGGGAGACGUAUAUGUUCGUCGCAGAACAAUUCGCGCGAUGAGAAAGUUUUCGUCGCACAUAUAAUUGCGCGACGAAAAAUUAUGUCGUCGGCCAAAUAUUUUGCGCGACGAAACAUUUCGUCGCGCAAAACGUGUUAUGUGUUCGUCGCGCAUGAAUUAAAAGUGAUAAAAAAAUAUUUGAUUUUUUUUUGUUACAUGUUGGUUUGCGCGACGAAAGAUUUUCCGUCGCGCAAAAAUAAUAUUACAAUUUUUUUUUUAUUUAUAUUUUUUAUUUGAUAUAAAAUUGGUUUCUUUUUAUUGAUUAAACAAUGAAAUUGCAAUAAAAAUAAAUUAGAAUAAAAUUUUGUUAUAAAAUAAAAUAAAAUAAAUGUAUUACAAAUAAAAUAAAUACACUAAUCAAAUAAUGAAUCAAAAUCAACCGAGUCGUCGCCAGUAUGCGGCUCGGAGGGCGGGGCGUUCACCGGGGCAGUGGUCUGGUGGGGAUGCCCGGGAUGGACGGGCUCAGAGGUCGGCGCAUCAAAAUGCGGGACUGGAAUGCCGGACUGUGCGAGGGACUGCAGAAUGACCGACAUCUGGCUCUGAAGAGUGGCCACCUGUGCUGUCAAAGCAGUGACCUGACUGUUUGACUGCGCCGAUGAACGAGGUCGAGGUUCCCUCCGCCGGGCAUUCCCCAUCCCUCGACAAUAUGUCCCCGGCCUCCUCCCGAGAGUCUGAUCCAACGUCUCCGUCAAUAUCUGAAAUCCAGCAUCCUGUGGAGGAGCCACAGACUCGAUCGGAGUCUCGGGAGGAAGCUGGGAGGCGGACUCCUGAAGAACAAGCUGGCUCCUCUCCACCAUCGUCGUCUGUUGAACAUAACAUAAAAUAUAAAUUAAAACAUGCAUAUAAAUUGAAUGCGUAACAUAAGAAUUAAAAUUAAAUAAUACUUACAUGAAGGGACUCGGCCAACUCAUUCCCGGGUCGAACAUAAACGUCACCAAAGACGUCGAUCUCUGGGAACUUGGACCCCUCCUAAAUUGAACAAGAGAAGAAAAAUAUUAGUAUGAAAAAAAUAAAUUAAUAAAAAUGACAUUAAAAAUGAAAUAAAAAUUUUGUGAUUAUUACCCGACGCCGUGCAUCCAUCCUAUAAGAAAAGGGUCUGGAGCCGGAAUGGUGGAGAAGGGUCUUCUUCUUCCUAUUACCCUUAUUCACUUGGGCUUUAUUCUGUUAUACAAAAAAUGAAACGUAUUAGUUAAAAUAUAAAAAAUUAAAUAAUAAUGAAAUAAAAAAAUAAAAUAAACAUUAAUAAGUAAUAAGUAAUAAUUAAACAAAUAUAAUUAAAAAAAUACCGCAAAUUCGGGCGCUUGAAAAUGAGCGCAGAGCCACUCCCAACUAUCCUCCCGCCCCUCAAGCUCCUUCGGGCAACCCUCCUGAAGAGCGACUUGCGGAUCAUCAUAGGCCUGAAAAUGGUGGUGCAAGUCGCUCUUCCACUGCUUGUACCUCUCAGCGAAGAGUCGGUUGACGUACGUCAACGACUCUUCGUCGAGAUCCUCCAAGUUAUAGUUCGUCUGCAAUCAAUUAAUUAGAUACGUUAAGUAAUAGAAAUAUACACAAUUUUAAAGAAAAAUAAUGAAAAUGUAAGGUACAUACCGACAACUGGCCGUGAAUCUCCGCCUGGAUCUCGUCAGGCAUGACCCUCCAAGACUUCCAUUGCAUCGGGCAAUGGGUCCGCACGACGUGGCCAAUGUCGUGGGCCAAGGAGCUAUGCAACUUCGCCGUCGGUGCAGCACGAUGGCGCUCGUCGUAUCCGAUGCUGAUACGACUGUUGGUCACCCGGGUGACCUUCGCCGUCUUCAGCUGACGACACGGUCCUCGGGUGUUCCUCUUCGCUGCAAAGAAAUAAGGUAUUAAUGUUAAAUAAAAAAACAUUGUCAAAUUUCAAUAUAAAAUUAACAAUACAAAAGUGUAGUUAUACCUGGCUGUGAUCCCGAGGCACCAGUACCGUCGGUCGAUGUCGUGUCGAUGGUGUCGGUGGGCCGGUGCCGCCGCCUAGCACUAGCUGGUUGCGCCACGGAUGACGCAGAUGACACAGGCGCCUGGGGCGCCCCGGGACCAACCACCACGUGGUCCAACAAAGCAGGAGCAGUGGCAGCAGAUGCCGACUGAGCCAGGGGAUCCGAACUCGGUGCAGUCGUCAUCGACCUACCACGUCUAAUCAAGUCUGACAUCUGCACAUAUAAUUUCAUUCAGAAUGUAAACUAAUUAAUUAAAAGCAUAGCCUGACCUAGGGUUUGGAAUUUCGGAGUAUCCGGGACUCCGAUCAACGAUCGGUCGAAUCCUAAACGAUCCUAGAAACACAAAGGUACAACUACGCGAGUUUCAGUUCGAUCCAACGGUCCGAACAUAUCAAACCUGGAAAUCGCACAAUAGGCGAAAUUCGAUCAAGACUCAAACGGUAACCAAAUUCAAAUCCGAGCAAACCUACGCGCUCGUGACAAACAGGGGAUCGCUCUGGGACACAAUGCCCCACUGCCACAGCAUCCCACGCGCCGGCAGCGCGUGGGUGUCCAAAGCGAUAACAUUCGCCGGAAAAUUCUAAAAACUAACGGCCAAGGUUCCUACCCUAGGUUGAAAACAAUAUUUGGCGCCACUUUUGUUCUCGGACCUACCCCGAAAAAUGGCCGGAAGUGGCCGGAUUUGAAAUUGCCAAACCGGCCAAAACCUAGGGUUUUAAUUCCUAUUUCCUAUACCCAUCAGCUAGAGCACAAAAAAUAGUCGAGAAAUCAUACCUCAGGCGUCGGAAAUGGUGGCCGGAGGAGAGAGAAAACGGCCGGCGAGGAAUCGGUGAAAAACCGACGAUGUGCGACGGCAGGCUCGACGGCGAAGGCAGGGGAGGCUAUGGCAGGAGCGGCGGUGGCUGAGGUGACGGCGGAGAGAGAGGGCUGAGGUGACGGCGGAGAGAGAGGCAAACGGAGGAAAAAACCAGAAAUGGGGAAGAAGGAGGCAUCGCGACGUUUCUGCAAAUUUUUACGACUUUGCGCGACGAAUCACAUCAUUCGUCGCGCAAAAUGCUAUUAAUGAAUCUUGCGCGACGCUAUAUCCGUCGCGCAAGAUCUGUCAGAACGCCAAAUUCUGAAAGUGGAUUAGGGUCUGUAAGUUUUGCGCGACGAAAUAGACAUACUUCGUCGCGCAAAAGGCUGUCUUUCCGCCAAAAUUUUGGGAUUUAGGGUUUAGCGGGAGGCUGAAACUGAAGGGUUUGCGCUUUUGCGCGACGAAGACGGUAAACGUCGCGCAAUGGUAACCUUGCGCGACGGAACGUAUUAUAUUCGUCGCGCAAAAGGCUAUCUUUCCGCCCAAAUUUUGGGAUUCAGGGUUUAGCGGGAGGCUGAAGGGUUUGCGCUUUUGCGCGACGAAGACACUAAACGUCGCACAAAAGGCUGUCUGCUGAAAUGAAUGGUUUCUGCUUUUGCGCGACGAAGACAAUAAACGUCGCGCAAAACGUUGUCGUUCCGCCAACAAUUUGGGGUUUAGGGUUUAGUGUGAAAACUGGCGCCCAGAUUGCGCGACGAAGAGUACAUAUUUCCUUCGCGCAAUCUAUUUCACUUUCACUUUGCGCGACGGAUAUGUUGGUUCGUCGCGCAAUCUUCAAGAUUUUCAUUGAAAUUUUCACUAAGUGUUCAAAGGGGAUGGAGGUGUGAAAACUGGCGCCCAGAUUGCGCGACGAAGAGUACAUAUUUCCGUCGCACAAUCUAAUUCACUUUCACUUUGCGCGACGGUUAAAUUGUUCGUCGCGCAAAAUGUAGACCCUAAACCCCCUUGUAAACCCUAAACCCUGAACCCUAAGCCAUAAACCCUAAACCCUAAAAUAGUUUCAAUGAUCCAACCGGCAAACUUAUUGUUUGAAACUUGGAGAUCAUAUACGCCAAAAAUCAAGAAGACCAAACAUUCAGAUAUCAGGGAACGGGACUAAAUAUUUCGACGGUUAUAAAUGAAAAGUCAUGAUUUAACGGUUAUUGUAACUCCGAUUUUGAUCAAUUUUGACAGCAGCAUUUGUUGACCCUAUAUGAAUACAAUGACUGAAUUUGAUCUUCAAUUUCAGAUUUUUACACUAGGGGAUACCACAUAAACGUGAAGUUACAUUUGCACAAAUGUAUAAACAAAUUUUAGGGUUUUUGGUGAAUAUAUGAUUUUGAUAGCACAUGCAGUCUACGAAACAAGUUUCAGUCAUCCAGCCGUCAAACUUGUUUUUUUAGACUUCGAGAUCAUAGACAGCAAAAAUCGGACAAAAAAAACAUUCAGAGAUUAAGCAACGGGGUAAAACUUUUCGACGGUUCUAAAUAAAAAGUGAUGAUUGAACGGUUAAUUUAACUCCGAUGUUGAUGAUUUUUUGCAGCUACAGUCCUACACUCCAUAUGAAUACAAUGAACUACUUCGAUCGCCAAUUUUAAAUAUAUAUGUGUGUAUAUAUUAUACUAUAACGUUACCUAAUAUAUAUUUGCGCGACGAAAGUUUGCUUAUCGUCGCGCAAAAAUGCCAUACGCGACGCAUGUAUAUAUGCGUCGCGGAAACUAUGCGCGACCAGUUGUAUUCGUUGCGCAAACAUUACGCGACGCUUAUGUAUGCGUCGCGUAUGGUAUGUUUGCGCGACGAUAUGGAGCCCUUCGUCGCGCAUGGAUUUGGCGCCAUAAAUCCUCAUUGAUUUCAAAUUGUGUAUGCUUUGUAUUUUUUAGAAAGGUUUUGUAUUCAUCAUUUUUUAUGCUUUGUAUUUUGUGGAAAGGCUUUGAAAUAUUCAUUUCUUUUGUUAUUUUUAUUGAAGCUUUAACUUGUUCUGUUCCGCAGAAAAUUCCAAUGAAGUUUGUGAUGAAAUAUGGAGAAUGAAUACACAACUACAUAUGGACAACUACACAUAUUCAAAGAUUUGUAUUACACAAAAUUAAUACACUAACAUAAUAAAUUUACAAAUAAAUUCAUUAUUCAUCAUCUGAACUAUAAUAACUUUCGUUAUCGUCGCUAGCUUUAACUUGUUCUGUUCCGCAGAAAAUUCCAAUGAAGUUUGUGAUGAAAUCUGGAGAAUGAAUACACAACUACAUAUAGACAACUACACAUAUUCAAAGAUUUGUAUUACACAAAAUUAAUACACUACAUAAUAAAUUACAAAUAAAUUCAUUAUUCAUCAUCUGAACUAUAAUAACUUUCGUAUCGUCGCUAUCAUCACUCUCGGUCUCCCAAUCUUCUUCCUCCUCCUCCUCUAUAACUGCAUCAUCGGCGUUGCUAGGGCCCACUGCAACAUCGUAUCGGGGAAGAUCACCGAGGUCAAUUGUAAUUGACUGAAUCGGUAUUUCGACUGAAGACACUCCUUCUAUUUGAAACGGUUCUUGUAUAACAUUUGUAUCUCGAAGUGUUUCCGCAUCAUUUUCCAUUGAAGAUUCUAAACGAUGGUCAGCCACAUUGUCGACGUCGUUGUCACUUGGGUCUAGUUCUGGUAUAUUAUACACGUUCCUAUGAUCCAUCUUCUGCACAACUUUCCACCCGUUCCCGGCUUUAGGGUCAUCUAGAUACACAAUUUGGGACGCCAUGUUUGCCAAAAUGUACGGGUCGUCAUCAUACCAAGUUCUGUUAAUAUUCACAGACAGUACUCCAUGGUCGAUUUUAACACUUCCCGCCCUAUUUGGGUUGGUAUCGAACCAUCGACACUUAAACAUGAUGACUUGGUAUCGAUCUUUGUAAAGCAAUUGCACGACAGUUGUCAGUUUGCCAUAGAAAUCAAUGUCUGUACUUUCGCCUCCACCUGGGACAUGAACACCGCUAUUUUGCGUACACAACUUGUCAUCUCGUGCGGCCCCUAAAAAUUUGACGCCGUUAACAUUACAACCCGAGAACAAUUCAGCGCGAAUUGGGCCGAACGCCAAGUUAUAUAACUCAUCACUGUAAGUGGGGGAAUUCGAUGAUUUCAAUUUAUUCACCUAAUAGUAUACAAAACCAUUUACAUGUUAGUCUGACAAAAUUAAAUACUAAAAUUUAUAUUUGUCAAUUACAAAACACUUAUAACUUACAGAAUCCAAAAACCAUUGUGGAAAUAAUUCACGGUGUUUCCGGGCAACCAAAUGUGAUGGAUGUUCUCGCUUCAUCAUCUGUUCAUGCUCAUCUAAGUAGGCCAUUAUCUCAUCACAAUUGUUCAGUACGAACCAAUGCGCUACCUCCAUGUCAUUUCUAGAAAACGACUCUCCUCGUCCAGGAUCUCCAAAUGGUCGUGCGCUUUGGGCAAAAACAGAAAGUUUUUCAUUUCUCAUACCUCCGUCAUUAUUGCGGUGAGGACGAUUGAAAACCGUCUCCACAUCUUUUAAAUACAUUCCACAGAAAGUAAGCGACUCAUAUUGAACCCAAGCCUCUAUAAUUGAUCCUUCGGGCUUUGCCCUGUUGCGUACACUUUUUUUCAGCUCUCCGAGAAGCCUGCCAAAAUAAAACGAUAUGAUACAAAUUAGCAAAGUGUCGAUAAUGAUGCAUACACAAAUGAUAAAGAUUAUAUACCUUUCUAUUGGAUACAUCCAGCGAUAGUUGACAGGACCAGCAAGCAAUGCCUCUUCUGGCAAGUGAACCAUCACGUGCAUCAUACUUAUAAAGAAAGCUGGAGGAAAUAUCAUCUCAAACUUGCAUAGGACUUGGACAAUGUCAUGGCGCAACUGAAACAUGUCUGUCCUUCGCAAUGUUUUUGCCGUCAGUUGGGAAAAAAAUCUGGAUAACAACAUGAUUGGCUUCACCACAUCUUCCGGCAGUAAGUGUCGAAUACCCACAGGAAGUAGGCGUUGCAUGAACACAUGGCAGUCAUGGCUCUUAAGUCCAGUAAAUUUACCCCCAUCGACAUUCACGCAACGUGCGAUAUUAGAAGCAUACCCAUCGGGAAAUUUGACAGACGAUACAAACUUUAGAAACUCCUUUUUGUCAUUCGGUUUCAUAGAAAAGAAUGCAAGAUCCCUUCUAGCUUUAUCACUGUCCCUAUUCAUCCAUAAACCCCUUCGUAUGCCCAUUCUUUCCAAAUCAAGACGAGCUUUGAUCGUGUCCUUCGUCUUCCCCUCGAUAUCUAGAAUCGUGCCCACCAAUGUGUCGAAAACAUUUUUCUCAACAUGCAUCACAUCUAGAUUGUGCCUCAAUUUCAGUUUCGACCAAUAUGGGCGCUCAAAAAACAUAGACUUGUGCGUCCAGUUCAAAUGUGUAGAAGGUCGGGUCCGACUAACUGUUUUCCCGAACGGAGCAAAAUCCAAACGGUUCAGCUGUUCCAAGAUCUCAUCACCGGACCAUUCUCUAGGUCUGAGGCGACGCUCUGUGUUCCCGUCGAACUCUUUAUCUUUUUCUCGCCACUCGUGGUCCCAUGGCAACCAUCUCCGAUGACCAAGGUAACAAACUUUUCCCGCGUGCCAACCAGAAGUUACAUCUUCCUUGCAUACAGGACAUGCCAUAUAACCCUUUGUGCUCCACCCAGAAACCAUUGCAUAUGCUGGAAAAUCAUUCACAGUCCACAUAACUGCUGCUCGCAAAGUGAACAUCCUCCCAGUUGAUUUAUCGUACGUGCGAACACCGUUUGUCCAUAAAUCCUUCAGCUCAUCAACCAGAGGCCUUAAGUACACAUCAAUUGACCUGCCAGGAUCCUCAGUUAUCAAAACAGUCAUCAUCAUGUAUUCUUUUUUCAUGCAUUUCCAAGGCGGCAAAUUAUAUGGGAAUGCGAAAAUCGGCCAAGUGCUGUGGUGUUGGUUUAGAACCCCAUACGGAUUGAAUCCGUCAGUGGCAAGUCCCAAUCUAACAUUUCGGGGAUCAGCAGCAAAUUCGGGGAACGUUCGAUCGAACUCUUUCCAUGCCUCCCCAUCUGCAGGAUGCCGCAUCACAUCAUCGUCUACCCGUUUUUCCUUAUGCCAUCUCAUGUCUGUGGCAGUAUGCGUUGACAUAUACAAUCGCUGCAACCUAGGUUUAAGGGGCAGAUAACGCAUGACUUUUUGUGGUAUCUUAGUCGUUCUAUUCUGGGAUGUCAGUUUGAACCUCGACUCAUUGCAUAUAGGGCAUGUAUCCAACGUUUCAUGCUCUUUGUAGAAUAACAUGCAAUUGUUUUUGCAAGCGUGGAUUUUUUCAUAACCCAAUCCAAGACCGUGCAACACCUUCUGUGCAUGUUUAUGGUCUUUCGGCAAACAAUUGUCCGUCGGAAGCAUUCUCUUGAAAACCCCCAAAAAGUAAUCAAAACACAAGUUCGACAUACGAUACUUUAUUUUUCCGUGCAUUAGCUCCACAAUGGCAGUGAGAACGGAAAACCUCUCGCACCCCGGGUAUAACUCUUGGUUGGCAUUUUUUAACAGUUUUUCAUACUGUUCAAACUCCGCACUGUCUAUUGGUGUAGGCACGUCAUCUUCCCCUUCCUGAUUGAUGUUGGUCGAUGCGAAUGGAAAAGCAUCCUGUAUAAUACCCAUGACUUGAUCAUUAGGAUCCACAAUAGGUUCAACAUUGUCCACUCUCGGGGCAUUUGAAGACGAAGCAUGGUCUACUUGUUCGCCGUGAAGGUUCCAAAUGCUAUAUGUUUCAAUCAUUCCAUUCCUUACUAAAUGAAAUCCAACAUUUUCAAUUGUCUCCCACAACGUGUUGUUACACCUCCUACAAGGACAACGGAUUCUAGUUGCACCCGGGUUGUGUCUACGUGCAAACUCAAUAAAAUCCUCGAUUCCAUCCAAGUAUUCGUCUGCGCAUCUAUUCGGGUUCUGUAUCCACCUUCUGCUCAUAAUUCCUGAAACCACAAUCACGACACAACAAUCACAACAACUUCAUACGAAGUUAUAAUGUCACCUUAUGCCUCCGGUAAGGGCCCUAUCCCAUUCGGGAAUGCAUAGUCCUGUCACGUAACCUACGGCUACAUGAGAUUAGAUUUCGACGUGGAUUAAUUUCAGCAGCAUCUCGACACAGUUCUUGAAGUGGGCAUAGGUAUAAAUACCUACGUACCACCCGAAGAACGUACCGAGAUGACACCGAAAUCUCCACAAUCGAAACCUAAUCCUGUAGCCGAAGAUUAUGUGACAACACUAUGCAUUACCAAACUGUCCAAAUAAUGGGACAAUUCAAGAAUUAAUUGGACCGCAGUCAUGCAUUACGCAUCCAUGCACGAAAUUCAACUAAUCUCGAACGGGAAACUACGUGUUACUAAACAUAAAAAUAAAAGUACGAAGUUAAUUUCAAUUAACUUCGUACAUCACAACACAUUGUGCUAUGUCACGCACAAUUUCACAACAUUAUACACAUAUAACUUCACAAAAAAAUUACAAACAUAACAAACAAACUUUUACAAUAACAUACCUUCUCAAUCGUUCUCCACCAAUCACAAAUAUCCCUAACGAUAACAAAAUUAAUAGCGUUACUACGAAUUUACAUUAAUACAUUUAAACUAACGACAAAAAAUACAUACCCAAUGAACGUACUGAAUUCACAGUAGAGCAACGGCAGAGAGAGUGAGAGAGAGGUAGAAUGCAGUGGGAGAGUGAGAGAGAGGCAGAAUGCAGAAACUGCAUUCUGCCUCUGCAAUGGAACUGGCUAAAAUGAAGAAGAAGGACUUUGCGCGACUAACAAUCCAAUCCGUCGCGCAAAAUGCCGUCGCGAAAACCCACUUUUCCGUCGCACAAAAAAACAUUUCCGUCGCGCAAUUACCUGCCGACAUCAGGUUUUUUGCGCGACGAAUACAAUUAUCCGUCGCACAAACAUCCGUCGCGCAAAUAACAUUAUUCGUCGCGCAAGGUUUAUAUUACGUCGCGCAAAUAACACUUAUUUCGUCGCGCAAGAAAUUACACUUUACGCGACGAAGGUAAUUCCGUCGCGCAAAAAAGUUUUUUCCACCCUGCAUUUUGCCGCCAAAAUUAAGUAACCCUCGUUUUCUUACGCGACGGUACAUAUUUCCGUCGCGCUAAGGCGUCUUUUGCGACGAAAAUGUUCGUCGCGCAAGAUUCUGGCGCCAAAAACAUAAACUGGGGAUUUUUCCCCGACCUUUGCUCGACGAAAUUAGUUUUGGUCGCGCAUAGAUUGUUUGCGCAACGAAGAUUGUUCGUCGCGCUAGUGUUCUGCUGUUUGCGCUACGGUAUUUUUUUUUCGUCGCAAUAGUGAUUUUUGCGCGACGAAAAUAUAUUCGUCGCGCAAACGUCCGUCGCGCAAAUAGUAAAUCGUAGUAGUGUGAUUUGGUUUAGACUUGGUUUAAUUAUCAUUGUUGUGGUUGGUUCACCAAAAAGAUUUGGCUUAGAAUUACCAGUUUUGUUGUUGGUUUAGUUAUGCUUGGCAUUUGAGGAUCCUAUGCUUACUUGUAUGGGUAAUACAUUUUAUUGAUCGUUUCAUAUACUAAUUAUGAACUUUUAGUUCCAUUGUGCAUUUAAGAGUACACAUAUUUCAUAUGUAAUUCGAAAGUUUGUCGCUGAAAUUUCUGAGAAUUUGAAACUAGAUAAGCACACCUUGCACAAAGUUCAUAUAUUUUCUUCCAGCAAGUCUGUCUAUUAACCCCCCUUAUCUGAAAUUAAUUGUUAAAAGUUCUGAUUCAUCUUUAAUCAUUGUCUUACCCUUGUUGAAUAACACUCCUCAUUCUAAUUUAUAUUCGAAGUUUGAGGUUUCAAUUUCAAUUGUGGGCUUUGAUUUUACAGAUUUUGUUUGUCAAUUUCAAUUUGGACAAAGCAUAUGCAAACAAAGUAAGGCAUUAUCUAUUAUUUGGAUCAUUUCCAUAUGUUUAUAUGUUUUUAAUAUCAUUUGCCUAUGUAGUUGACAUGUUAUAACAUUUUCGUAGUGUUGAAUAUAUAUAUAUAAUAAUUUUAUUUUAGUGGAUGUGAGAUCUCAGUUUGUUGCUUUAUAUAAUUAUUUCUUUGCAAUUUAAUUUUUUUUAUCAGUCAUACUAUUGUUGACGGCUAAAAACCAUCAAGAAACAACUCUUAAGUUUUUUAAAAAAUAAAUAAAUAAAUAAAGAUUUGUUGAUGCUUAAAAAGCAUCAAGAAAAGAUAGUUUCUUGACGGUUUUGUGACGUUUCAUAACCGUCAUGAAACAUUACAUUUUGACGAACGUCUUUCUGAUAGUGGCAUCCGUGACGCUUUCCGAGCCAUCAAUUAAGGGCUAUCGUGAUGCUUUUUAGUUGUCAGCAAAAGGUGUUUUUCUUGUACUGUAUUCACUCAAAAUCGUUUUUCAUUUAGGGUUGCUAGUGUGGUUGAAUGCCAUUUGUUUUGUUAAUGAAUAUUAUACAUUAUGGAUUUUUGUAGAAAUGUCGCUUGAAAUUAUACCUCAGUUUCAAUUUGUCACCUUAAAGAAAAAUUUAAGAGAAAUGUCACCUUAAUUUUUCAAAAUCCACGAUUUGUCAUCUCACUUUAACAUCAUCCAAUUUUCCAUCUAUUUUAAGGGUAUUUUAGUCUUUUCAUUUUCAAGGGAAAAAAAGAGAGGAAGAAAAAGACCUCUCUCUUACUUUCUCCCCCAACCCAACCCCACCCGCCCCCCAAAACACAUCGCAUAGGACCGCCUCCCCCUUCCCCACAUUUCUUUUUUCUUUUUGGCCUACUUUUCCACUAUGUUUAUGUUGAAGGAUCUAAAGUUUUCUUGGUCACCAUCUAUUACGUAGGCUACCGACUUGUUGGUUUGGGUGGGUUGAGGGAAUUUGUGUGUGGAGGGCAGGUGUUCAUGUUGUGUGCACCAAGACCUUAUCGUUGAUGAACUAUGUGACGGCACACACACAAACUCGUUGAGAAUAAAACAAACAUACCACCAAGAGAGUAAAACAAACACACAAGGACACAAAGAUUUAUAGAGGUUCGGCCUCCUGCCUACGUCUUUUUGGUGAUUCACUCGAGAAAUUCACUAGUAUGUAAAAAUAACUUUGGUUACAACUGAACCCCCUUAGCCCUCACAAGAACCUUAGAUCUCUUUUCUCUCACCCUUGCUCAAACCCUUUGAUGCCCUUGUAGACACUCAAGAAUUCACCCUUGAAUUCUAUCUUGUGUUACAUCUUCUCUUCUCCCUUUUGUUAACCUAACCCUAAAAGUCCUAUUUAUAAUGCAUAGGACUUAAGUUACAAGUUAACUUGGAAUAGGAAACAUAAAAUACCCCAAAAAUUGGAGAAAAUCUGUCCAAAUCUAGCCUGCAAAAUCAUCCUUCUGCCGCUCGAGCUGCCGGUGGCGCUCAUGGGAUGGGGGAAUUGGAGAUUUUCUUUUCAAUUUUAAUUGUUUAAAAGAUAUACAAUUUUUUAUUAUAAUAAUUUUUCCAUUUUUAAAAUACACUUGAAAAUAGAAAGCUUAAAAUGCCCUUAAAAAUAGAUGGAAAAUUGGAUGGUGUUAAAGUCAGAUGACAAAUCAUGGAUUUUGAAAAAUUAAGGUGACAUUUCUCUGAAAUUUUUCUUUUAAAAGUGACAAAUUGAAACUGAGGUAUAAGUUCAGGCGACAUUUCUACAAAAAUCCCUAUACAUUACAAUAUUAUAACAAUAAAAUUGGCUAAAAUUGAUAUGUUCCCUCUUUUCUUUUCUUUUUCUCUUUUCCUUUUCAUUUUAUGCUUUGUUGCUAUUGCUAUGUUUAUCCUACAAAUAUAGCAACUUCUCCACCAUUCAUUUGUUAGUGACUACGAUGCUUAGUAACUUCUUCAGCUCCCCUUAUUUCCAUGUACUAACCAGGGACACCAGGUCAGCAUCUUCGGUAAGAAUCCUAACUCAAUCAAACAAUGACAUCUGUAAAUAUUCAAAAUUGGAAUUUGCAUUGUGAUAGUUGAAAGCAUCCUUGUCCCAAAAAAAGCCAAAAAAUAAAAUAAAAUUGAGAGCAUUAAGUCCUUUUCAAAUUAUGCUAAUAUGCAAAAUUGGAAUUUUGAUGGAGUUGCUUCCUUGACUUUUCCACCUUUGUAUCCAGUCCACUUUGCACAAGGAGCCAAGUUUGAGAGAUAGUUUUCUGUAUUUACACCAUCCAGGAGAAAAUUAAAAAACUAUUUCAUGCCAAACUAACUACGGAUUCUUGCAAAGGACCCAUUAGUGUAGUGGUUUGGAGUAUUUACUCCCUCAGGCAAGGUCUUGGGUUCGAGUCCUAGCAUUCAUGUUGUGUGUGUGAGUUUAAUAUGCUAUCACCCCUUCCAAUAGGAAAGGACCUCAAAAAAAAAAAAAAAACUACAGAUUCUUUAAUUGAAAGAAACCCCAUAUUAAUCAUCCUUUGGCACAUAAAUGUUUGGUAAUUGGCAUUAAAGUAUCUAAAGGUUACGAAAUUAAAGAUUUUAAUGCAAACCUAAAAUUGGAAAAGAGGGCACCAAUUCAUGUAAAAUAUGGUGUACUUAGUAGAUCCAACAUAUUUUUUUAGCAACCAAGGACAAUCAUCAUUUUUUUUUUUAAGAACCAAGGAUAGCUUACAUUCUAGUUUGUCCAUCAUGUCAACACAUUUAUAAUUAAAACUUCUUUUUUGGUGAGGUUUCAAUUUUUGUCACUGUAACAAGACCACAAUUGCCAUUCAGUAUGCUAACAUUGUCACUAUGUUUGCCAAUUGCAUAUUAUCUAGAACAUAAAGGCUUUGGUGUUUUGUAUAUCCUCGGGGUGCCAAACCUGUCUUUAUAAAAAUGGUCCUUAUGAUACUACUUUAACAACAAAAAAAUAUAAUAAACUAGGCCUUUGUAGUCACUGAACGAAUGUUUUCUCAUAGAUAUGACUAUUUAAAUGUAAUUACGGGAUUAAAACAUUAUAAUAAAUUGGAGUGAACCAUAACAUUAUAUAUGAUCCAAUCCUUUUCAUAUAUUUUUGUUCAAGACUUUGUUUUAGAAUGCUCUUUUACUAAUUUGGUACAGGUCCCUAAAAUCUACGCCUUUAUGAGGCAACGUCUUUAUUUCUUUGGUUAUUCCAGUUUAGAAUAUAUUUGUACAAAUGAGAUGACUCCCAACAUAAAGUCACAUUCAACCAAAAAGCAUGAAGUCACACACAAAAAGAACACGGACAAUUGCUAAGUUUAUCUUGUAUCCUUAUUUUAUUGAUCCAACCCAAUUGAAAAAUAAAAAAGAUGAUAUAAUAUAUUGUUCACUGCUUACAUCCAUGAGUAAAGUCCUCCAUUUGAAAUUGCGUGAUUAUACAAAAUUGGAAUGAAAAAAGAAAAUCCUACAACUAAAUUUGAUAUAUUCCUUUUCAUUUUAUGUUGGAUGUUAAGUUUUCUUGUUUCUUGUUGAAAAGAAAAAUGAAAAGAAAUAAAUAAAUUACACAGCUAGCAACUUCUCCACCUUCCCUUCUUCCCAUGUACUGACAACAAGGGAGGCCUUCAAUCCAAAAUAAAGACAAGGGAUGCCAGGUCAGCAUCUCAGAUAAGUAUCCCAACCAAAACCAAUCAAAUAAUGACAUAUGUAUCUCUUUUUGUGUUUUGUUCUAUUUCUCUUUGAAUUAACUGCGAAGUUUCAUAAGCGUGUCCUCCUUUUGAAAUUGUGUAUUAUUCAAAAUUGGAAUUUGCUGGUCAUACUUGAUAUAAGCUAAAACAGUUUCCAACAUCUUGUACCAUUUUUUUCCAGUGUGGGUCAUAACUUGAAGAAGCCCACCGACAAUUUCUCAAAAGCUAUUACCAUCCAACUUUGAAAAAUAAAAGUUUCAAAAGUUACCCCAAACAACAGCCCUUGAAAGAGAGUUUUCCAAGGCUAAAGAUUACAAGGAUGUUAUUGGCACAUGCAUUAACGUGUGACAAGAAGUUAGUUAUAUUUAUAAAGUAAAAGAACGAAGUACAUAACAUGUAAGUUGAUGCCAAAUAUUUGAUCAACAGAGCUAAACAUAAAACCACGACAAUAUAACGUUGUUCACCAAAAAUUGUGUUUCGUUGAGGGUCAGUAGUGUAGGUUUCAAGAUACGAUUUAUUUUGUUAAAGAAUAUUCUGAUAUUCUAACAAUAAAAUUGGCUCAAUUUGAUAUGUUUCUUUUUUUUUUUGUUUUUGUUUUCCCUUUCAUUUUAUGCUUUGUUGUGCUAUUGCUAAGUUUAUCCUAGAGACCAGGGAUGCUUAGCAAGUUUCUUCACCUGCCCUUCUUCCCAUGUACUAACUAGGGAUACCAUGUCAGAAUCUUAGAUAAGAAUCCCAACCCAAUCAAACUAUGACAUCUGUAAGUAUUCAAAAUUGGAAUUUGCAUUGUGAUAGUUGAGUGGAAGAAUCGAUUAAGGCUUGAGUGGAAGACAAACUUCAGUGGAGGAAAGUAAUUAAUCUCACAAGACAUAGCCCAUCAGUUGGCUCAUUUUUCUUGAGUGUGUAGUCCUGGCCUUGAGGCGAGGCCACAUUGCUUUGGAGAUUUCUUUCUACUUGGUGAAAUUAUAAUUUAGAAGAAGCAAACUGCGUUUUGCAAUUUGUGCGAUUCAAGCAUAUCUGACACUAGUAAUUAGACCAUAAUCUUUGUCCGACCAGAAAAUAAGAAAAGUUGUCUUGUACCAUUUCUGCCAGUGUGGGUCCCACCCACCCCAUACGAGUAAUUUGAAGAAGUCCACCGACAAUUUCCCAAAAGCUUUGGCGUCCAACUUUGCCGACCCCAUCCCCAUGUGAGGCCAUAGAAAAGUUUUCAGCCACAAUCAAAGAAGGGAACAGUCCUUGAAAAGAGAGGGUUUUCCAAGGCCAAGAUUACAAGUUCAUGUUAUUUACAGUCUCAAAAAGCUUCCAUACUUGUUUACAAACCUGUAUUUUCAAGUUGUGCUAGCCUAGCUAUUUGCAAAUCUUGGAAUAUUUUACUUCAUCCAAAUCCCUUGCAGUCUGCAGAGAAGAUAAAAGACAUGGCUUUGAUUGGAGAGGCUCUUAUCUCUGCUUCCGUCCAGGUGUUGUGCGACAGAAUUACUUCACCCGAGUUCGUUGACUUAUUUUGGCACAAGAAACUCGAUGAGCCACUCCUCAGGAAGCUGAGGACGACACUGUUGGCCUUGAACUUGGUGCUCAAUGAUGCAGAGGGGAAGCAACUUGUGAACCGAGAUGUGAAAAAGUGGCUUGACGAGCUCAGACAUGCUGUCUUUGAUGCGGAGGACUUACUGGAUGAGAUUGACACUGAAGCUUUGCGAUGCAAGCUGGAAGAAGGUGAAGAUCAAACUCACAAAUUUACCAAUAAGGUGCGGAACUUGCUCUUUUCUCCUCGUAGUCAUUUUUAUCAGAGCAUGAAUGAUAAGAUAAAAGAGUUACUAGCAAGGUUAGAAAACUUUGUACAACUGAAAAGUGCUCUUGGUCUGGGAGAAGUUGCUGGGAGGAAGGUUUCGCAAAGAACUCAAACAACCUCCUUGGUUCUUGAACCUUAUGUAUAUGGUAGAGAUGAAGUCAAAGAAAAGUUAUCAAAAGUGUUGCUAUCUGAUGAAGCAGGCAAGGAUCCUGUGUCUUUCCUCACCAUUGUUGGAAUGGGUGGGGUUGGCAAGACAACCCUUGCUCGAAUGCUUUACAAUGACGAUAAGGUGAAAGGGCAUUUUAAACUUAAAGCUUGGGCUUGUGUUUCAGACUACGAUGAUUAUAUUAAAAUUACUAAAACUCUCCUUGAGGCAGUCACUUCAAAGCCUUGUAACACGGCAAAUCUGAAUUUGCUUCAAAAAGAUCUAAGAGAGCAAUUGAGGGGAAGGAAAUUUUUAUUUGUGUUGACCUAUGGAAUGAGAAUAAUGAGGAUUUGAACUACCUUAGAGCUCUUUUUAUUACUUUAGGAACAAUGGGAAGUAAAGUCAUUGUAACAACACGGAACAAAAAUGCAGCAUCUGUCAUGCAAAAUGUUCAUAUUCAAUACUUAGAACCAUUGUCGUAGGAGGACUGCUGGUUAUUACUUGCAAAACAUGCAUUUGGAAAUGAAAAGUGUAGUGCACAUUCAAACUUGGAAGACAUUGGAAAGCAAAUUGCACUCAAGUGCAAAGGGUUGCCUUUAGCUGCACAAACACUUGGGAGUUUGUUACGUUGCAAUAUGGAUUUCGAGUACUGGAAUAGAAUACUAAAUGAUAGUUUUUGGGACCAACCCUAUGAUAAAACUAACAUUCUUCCGGCUCUAGGGUUGAGUUACCAUUAUCUUCCUACUCAGUUGAAACGAUGCUUUGCUUAUUGUUCAAUUUUUCCAAAGGAUUAUGAGUUUGAAAAGGAAGAUAUAGUUCAAUUAUGGAUUGCAGAAGGUAUAAUUCCACAAGCUGAGAAUGGAAAAAGGAUGGAAGCAUUGGCUAGAAUAUACUUUGAUGAGCUGUUAUCACGAUCGUUGUUUCAAAAGUCAAGUAAAUUCAGCUUCAUUAUGCAUGAUCUCAUUAAUGACUUGGCUAUGUUCAUGUCUCAGGGGUUUUGCCUUAGGCUCGAAGAUGGGGUAUCCCGUGAAGUUAAAAGAGCUCGUCAUUUGUCAUAUGCUAGGGGAGAAUUUGAUGCUGCUCCAAGAUUUGAACCAUUAUAUGAGGCUAAAUGUUUGCGGACCUUCCUACCUACCAUUUGUUGUGGGCAAAUCUACUGGAUCAGGCAUAAGAGAACUGAGGCAGUUCCCGCAACUUCGAGGAAAACUAUCAAUUUUGAAGCUACAAAAUGUAGUUGAUGCGAGGGAUGCACUGCACGCCAAUAUGAAGCACAAGAAAGAUCUCAAGGAGUUAGAGCUUUCAUGGGGUGCGGAGGAUGCUGAUGAUUCCCAAAAGGAGAAAGAUGUACUCGACAAGCUCCAGCCUUGCGUGAAUUUGGAGAAAUUAACCAUCAAAUUCUAUGGUGGAACUAAUUUUCCGAAUUGGUUAGGAGACUCGUCUUUUUCUAACAUACAAGUCAUGCAUCUCAGUGACUGUAGUUAUUGUUGGUCGCUCCCACCAGUUGGACCGCUACCGGCACUCAAACAGCUCUGUAUAAGAAGAAUGAAGUUUGUGAAGACGAUUGGCGUUGAAUUCUAUGGCAGAAAUGGAGCUUAUCUGACUCAGCCAUUUCGAUCUCUGGAGAAGCUAGAGUUUAGGGAGAUGCCAGAGUGGGAGGAAUGGGUACCAAGUGGAAGUGCAAGUGGAGGUGAAUAUGGUCCAGACUUUCCUCGUCUCCAGGAGCUGAUUCUAUACGAGUGUCCGAAGCUAAGAGGAAGUUUGCCUUGUGAGUUGCCUUGCUUGAAGAAGCUUACGGUGUAUGGGUGUAAGGUUUUACAUGAUGGAAGGGCCAUUACCGCAACUACCAAUAGUCUUAACUAUAAAUCUCUGGAAGAAUUGAAUAUAAGUGGUGGAUGCCAAACUCUGUUAUCAUUAUUAGAGACAAAGCUCCUGUCCGGACUUGAGAUUCGAAAUGUUGUUGACAUACAGUGCUUGCCCAACUGCAGUCGUCUUCAACAUUUGACUCUUUCGAAUUGUCCAACGCUGUCAUCAUUUCCCAAAGAUGGCCUACCCACUACAUUGACAUCACUUUAUAUAAACAAUUGUAGGAAAUUAGAAUUCCUACCUCAUGAGAUGUUGGCCAAAUUAACAUCGCUUGACUAUUUGUGCAUACAAAAUAGCUGUGAUUCAAUGAGGUCCUUCCCGUUGGGCAUUUUUCCCAAAUUGACGAGGCUUGAAAUUCGUGGUUGUGAGAAUCUGGAAUCCCUUUCCUUGAUUGAAGAAGAAGGAGCUGUUGAGAAUCUCAGCCAUCUCAAUUACUUGCAAGUCUAUAACUGUCCAAAAAUGGUGUGUUUUCACGAGGGAGAAUUGCCCACUCCCAACCUGAGUCACUUUGUAGUCGGUGGUUGCGAGAAUUUGAAGUCAUUGCCCAAAAGCCUUCACACCCUCACUGCCCUUCGAUCUUUGUCGAUAUGUAAUCUUCCGAAUCUGGAGUCAUUUGCAGAAGAUGGGGGUUUGCCUCCCAACCUCCGACAAGUAAGUAUUAGGAAUUGUGAGAGACUGAGGGCUUCAUCAGUGGGUUUGCAAGCACUUGACUCCCUUGAGAUCAGUGGAAGUGACCAUGUAUUCUCUAUCACACUCUUCACAUCUAUUCUCUAUCAACUCUGAAAUCUUUGGACGGAAAGGGUCUUGGACACCUCACUUCUCUUCAAGAGCUAGAUAUUAACAGGUGUCCAAGUCUGGAAUUCCUGCCAGGAGAGGAACUUCAACACCUCACUUCUCUUCAAAAUCUAUACAUUUGGAACUGUCCCAGUCUUCAAUGCUUGCCAGAAGAGGGUUUUCCAUCAUCUCUUUCUCAUCUGAGUAUCCGCCGGUGUCCUACCCUGGAGGAAAGGUAUAAGAAUAAAACGGGACGAGAUUGGGCCAAGAUAUCUCACAUUCCUUGCAUCGAGAUAGGCAACGAAGUGAUCAUAUAAUAUGAGCUAUUCCAUAUUUCACGCUCAACCCUCAACUCUCAAAUCAAAGUCAGGUGAGGUAUGUGCCUUCUCUUACUUUAAAAAACUGCUGCUCAAUAACACUCUUCGCACUCUAUAUAUUAUGGCCUGUCAGUCUAAAAUUCCUGCCAGGAGAGGAACUUGAACGCCUCUCUUCACUGCAAAGGCUACAUAUUUGUGGGUGUGACAAUAUCCAAUUCCUGCCAGAAGAGCGUUUGCUGCAAUCUCUUUCUUAUCUGUGCAUCGACCAUUGUUUUGCCAUGUAGAAAAGGUAUCUCACAUUCCUUGCGUCAAGAUAGGUGAAGAAGUGAUCAUAAGAUAUGAGCUCUCUCUCCCUCUCGCUCACAUACAAAGUACUUAAAACACUCAAUCUGAUUUCUAUUAUUAUUUUGCUCAGUAAAUUUUGUUUAAAUUUGCUUUGUUUCUCAUUGCGCUUGUUCUGCUUAUCACAACUUAUAUCCUAUUUAAAUCUCAAAUGCUGAAUAGUUAGCAGUCUUUUCGCAGGACAGCAUAUCUUCUCUUGGAGAGCUAUUCAUUUGCAAGGUUUCUUUAUGUGUCAUUUCCAGAGGAGGGUUUACUAUUUAAUAGAAAGGUUCACCUGGAAUAUCUCAAAUGACACAUUCCCAAAUACAGGCAUUGAAUGCACAACAUUUUGAGGUACUAUUUUUGUAAUAAAAAUGUACUUGAGUCUCAUUUGAGCUAGUUUAAAUUGUAUUCAAUGUCUAUGGAUAACCUGUGAGCUUAAGUUGUAAGAUAAAACUCACAGUAUAUUAUUAGGGUUUAGGGUUCAACAGGUGAGCUUAAGUUGUACUUUCCUAGGUACUGCAUGUAUAUUAUCUUAGUAUCAACACUUGGUCUUAUGUGGACGAGAGAGAACAUUUGAGGAAUUACAAAAUCUUCUUAGUGAAUUAAGCUUGUUUCAGCUCUGUUUGUCAUCCCUCACAUUUUCUUUGUUAAGCCUUGAUUUUUUAUUAGACAUACGAAAAAAUGCUUUUAUAAGACAGGAGAUGAAUGCUUUUAUAUGUUGAUGUCGUAGUCAGUCUUCAACCACACUCUGUUUUUAGAAUUCAUUUAUGUUACUAGUUGAGAGCUGCUGUAUUUUAUAUUUCGUUCCUGUAAUGUUUGGAUGUUUAGCUUGAGCAGUCUAGCUUAUCCAGUAGAUAACUUGUCCCCUGUUUUGUAAUGUUUUUGUUUCCUCUAAUGAAAGCAGGUUUUACUUAUCUUGAACUGCAGAAGCCUACUUUUUGACAUAGGUGGCAUGGCACAAACUCGCAUCCGCAUUUCCAUCCCCAUUGGCAUGCUGUCUCAUCUUUUCUAUUCUGUUACCAGCUUGAAGCUUGUGUGGACAUGUUAUGCUCUUGUAAUUCUGAUCACAAACAUCACUUGACAAAUGGAAAGUCACAAUCAGAUCUUUCAGGUGAUCUGGAGGUUUACUUUCUAACAUUUGUUUUCGUGGGGGGGAGACAACAAUACAGAAUUUAAAAUUUCUGAUAAUCAAUAGUAGUUUGCAUAUAUCAGCUGGGACCUGUAUGACUGUAUUAUGUAAUUAAUUAUUUCUCUUAUUGUUUGGGUACUGUUAAAAGGAGUUAGCCACACAACAUAAAAAAGGAGGUCUCUUAUUUCAUACAAUUUUUCAAAUGUGAUCAUUAAUCCGUUUCUUUUUCAACAAUAGAGGAAUGUAUACUAAUCGUCUGGUCCAUCUGCUGCUUCACUCCCUAGUAGCUUCAUCUCCUGUCCUUUGCUUUAUUUCUGUUGAUGAAUGUUUUGUCUGGGUUAUUUAUUUUCAUUUCAUGUCCAUUGCUUUAUUUCUGUUUGGAUUCUUAAUUAAAUCUGUCCUGGACUUGAACAAGGGUUAGGUUAGCUGUAUAAUUUGCGGUUUUAUAUACACAACUGUCUACAUUGAUUAAAACCAGCAUUAUUCUAAGGUUCAUUUAGAAUGUAUUAUCACCAAAAUUAUAAAGAAUACUUCUAUUACAAUUAAUUUGUUGAUUCUAAUUUGGACUUGUAGGAACAGACCAAACAUGUUCAUGCGUGGCAUUGCUCAAGUCAUCAUCAUUCGAGACAGAGAAUAAGCCUUCAAGUGUCUGCUGAGUCAAUGAACCUUUCUAGAUAUCUCAAGUGUAAUGGAAAUUGAUGAGUUACAAAGGAUUUGUAAACAUUUUCUACUGGAGGCUAGAAAUGCUUCAAAUAAAUGACCGUGUUGCAAUUAUUUUGUAGGAUCAAAGACUCUGCAAAGAGGUAAGAAAGUCAUCAUCAAGUAACUUUGCUCUUCAAACUUUUUAUUUUUAUUUUUAAAUAUCAGUAAUAACUGGGAAAGCUUGCAUCUCCUUAAAUUGCUCAUUCUUACAUCUUUUAUAGUUUGUUGAUCUUGGGCAAGUGGAGAGAGAGGCGUCAAGUGAUACGCAACAACCAUUUUCUGUGAGCUGAUUUGAUAAAGAGAAAUGGUAUGCUUUCUUGUCUUAAGCGGUGUGUUCUGCAAUUAUUUGAAACAAAGGAUGCCGCACUUCAAGUUCGAGAAAAUCAGGUAUUUUAGUAUUUUAUUCUUGAGAAAUUUGAUUUAUGUAGAAACUUGAACAUGUAAAUAAAAUAAAUAAAAUAUAUUAUAUGCUGUUAAUGAGUUAAUAUGGUGCUUGCUUCUAGUUGGAAAUUUAUGUAGUCAUCUACCUAUGAUCAAAUAAAGAUGAAGAAUAAAAUAUAAUUGAGAGCAUCUUCCUCUCCCCUGCUUUGCUCAUCCCUUGUUCUUCCACUUCAGCCCCACUAUUACACCAUUUUUUCAGCCACAAUUAUAAUAGCUCCAUGAGCAUUAAGUCCUUUUCAAAUUCUGCUGACAUUCAAAAUUGGAAUUUGCUGGUGAUAUAUGAUAGCAUCUUUGUCCGACCAAAAAGAGAAAAAAAAAAAGUUGAUAGCAUAUUGUACCAUUUUGGCCAGUGUACGCAAUAUUAUUGCAUCCAACUUUGCAUAUUAACAUCAGUGGCCACAGUUCCAUGAUUUGAGUGCACAGAAAAGUUUCAAAAGUUGUCCCACAAAGAACAGUCGUUCAAAGUGAAAGAGAGAUUUCAAAGCUUAAUUACAAGUUCAUGUUAUUUACAAUAUCAAAAAGCUUUCAUACUUGCUUACAAACCUGUAUUUCCAAGUUCUGCAAACCUUGGAAUAUCACUUCAUCCAAAUCCCCUUCCAAAGCAGGAAAAAAUGGCAGCAGCUUUGAUUGGAGAGGCUCUCAUCUCUGCUUCUAUCGUGGUGUUGUGUGACAGAGUUACUUCAGCCGAGUUCAUAGACUUAUUUCAGCAGAAGAAACUUGAUGAAACACUCCUCAUGAACCUGAAGACGACACUGUUGAUUUUGUUUGCGGUGCUCAAUGAUUCAGAGGAGAAGCAAAUUGUGAACCCUGAAGCUUUGCGAUGCAAGCUGGAAGGUGAGGAUCAAACCCACAAUAAUUAACCAAAAAGGAUCUUUUUGAUUGUUUGAAAGGAGGGUCUUGAUGAUUUGAAAGGAGAGGGUUGCUUUAUUUCUGUUGGAUGCUUAAUUAAAUCUUAUUUGGAGUUGAACAAGGAUUAGGUUAGCUGUAUAAUUAGUGGUAAACGCCUUUUUCUAAGGGUCAUUUAGACUCCUAUUACGAUUAAUUUGUUGUUUCUAAUUUGGACUUGUAGGAACAGACCAAAUAUGUUCACACGUGGCAUCGCUCAAGUCAUCAUCAUUUCAGACUGAAAAUCAGCCUUCGAGUGUCUGUUGAGUCAAUAAACCUUUCUAGAUAUAUCAAGUGCAAUGGAAAUUCAUGAGUUACAUAGAGAUUUUUAAACAUUUUGAAGAUUGCAACACCUGCAAGUGAGAUAGGCGGUGACGAAAUCAGAGCUGAUUUUGAAGCCUCUGAUGCCCCUGUUGUUGCAAGUUGCACCUGAGAACAAGUUUUUUUUUUCUUUGGGGUAAAAAACUGGCAACAUGUUCGGAGCUGACAAUUCAAUCCCUGAUGAACUAGAGAAGCAAAGCUCCGGUAAGGAAAUUGGUCAAGGUUGUGACAGGGAUGAUUGAUGGUGAAAUGGAUGCUAUUUCUUAUUGCAGCCUGUUCUCAAAGUUCUUGUUGGCAAAUGCAAUUGAUGGAGUAUUUUGAUUGGGAGGAGAGAUAAUGACAUGGCUUGACAAUUCUAGAACAGCCCAUCAUUAAUCCCAGAAAAAAUCCCGUUUCUGCUAAACAAUCACUUAUGGCAAGGCCAACUCUGUAAAUGGAAUUUGUGAUCCCUUCAAAUUGUACACAUUUUUUCUUUUUGAGGAAUUUAAUCAAACAGUAUUCUAAUGCAUUAUGAUAGCACUACACGCUUUUGUUGUAACAAAUUACAAGGAGGAAUUUGGAUUGAGUUUCUUGUAUAAGCACACCUUACACAAAUUUCGUAUAUUUUCUUCCAGCAAGUCUGUUUAUUAACCCCCUUAUCUGAAAUUAAUUGUUAAAAGUUUUGAUUCAUCUUUAAUCAGUGUCUUACCCUUGUUGAAUAACACUCCUCUUUCUAAUUUAUAUUUGAAGUUUGAGCUUUCAAUUUCAAUUGUGGGCUUUGAUUUUUCAGAUUUUGUUUGUCAAUUUCAGUUUGGACAAAGCAUAUAUGCAAACAAAGUAAGCAUUUUAUGUUAUACUUUUGAACUAGGUGUUGAUUUGAUUUAAUCAUAAGUUUUGCUGGUGCAUUUACUAGGCUAAUCAUUCAAUACUUUUGAUCAUAGAACUUCUUUGGUUGAUAUUAUCUUUGUUAAGUUUAACCAUAACUUUAGAGAGGGGACUUCAACAGAUUUAUAAUCUCAUCAUUAUAGUAUUAAAAAUUAGAGAUUAUUUAAGGCAUUGUCUAUUAUCUGAAUUCUGCUUACUUUUAGUUCAUAUGUUUACAUCUUAGCAUAUUCAUGUGAUUAGUGCGGCUCAUACCACAAAGGCAAUUUUAGGCUCAUCAAGUGCUAAGCAAUGUCAAGCUUCCAAAUGACAAGUUCUCUACAUAGUUUGAGACCUACACUUACUAGAUAUUAGAUCAUUUCGAUCAUUUCCAUAUGUUUAUAUGUAAUUGACAUGUUAUAACAUUUUUGUAGCGUUAUAUAAUUAUUUAGCAAUUUAAUUAUUUCUUUGCAACUUAAUUUUUUUUGUCAAUCAUACUAUUGUUGACUGCUAAAAACCAUCAAGAAAUAGUUCUCAAGUUAUAAAAAAAAAAAAAUUUUAAAAAAGAUUUGUUGAUGCUUAAAAAGCAUCAAGAACAGAUAGUUUCUUGACGGUUUUGUGACAUUUCAUAACUGUAGGGGGCUUUUUCUUCCGACAGCUGUAAAUGGGCUGGGCUGCCGUAAAGGGCAGACUGAUGAAAUUGUCCCCUUUUGUAUGAGCUCAAAAAUUAAGCCCCAAAAUACUUUGAAAGGGCAGCAGAGCCUUAGGAAGUAUUUUGGUUACCCUCACCAACUAAAACAACAACAACUUACAGGUAAUUACUUAAUGCUUAUGGAUGAACUCUUGAGCUUGGCAUGAGAGACAUAUGGCAUGGAAGCAAAAUCAACAUGAGUUUAGCACUGAGGGGAAAUUUAGGCUCUCUUGGGGGAAAAAGGGAAGUGUUAAGGUGAGAGAGGAGAAGUUUGUAGGAGAUUUAGCUAAGAAAGGAGAAAUAUAGAACAAUGCUCUUUUGGCAGCUUGACAGAUGCUCUGUUUGCCAGAAAAGGAAGAUGGAGAAGAAAUGUGAAUAGUGCAAGAGUUUGCUAGAUUUUUGCAGGUAAGAGAGGAAGCUUGCUCUCUGGGUCUGAGUUGAGUUUUUUUGUGUGGAAGAGACCUCAUUUUAUAGCCCUUGGAAACCAUCACUUCCCAAGAAACCCUAAUGGCUUCUACCCAUUUUGGCCAAGCUUUUCCCUUCCUUUCUCAUUUCCUUCCUUGACUUUACCCCUCUUGAUGAAAUCCCCUCUGCCUAUUUGCACCAUAUCAGAGUUUUUUGAAGCUCAAGGCCCCUUUUUCCCGCAGUUGUCUCAAUGGGAGACUUCCAUUCCCAGUCAUCUCCUUUAUUGCUUUCCUUUCUUUUUUUCAUGGCCAAGUUUGGUGGGGAAAGGAGUUGGGAUAUAUAUGCUGGUUUGAAGGGUGCUUCUCUUCCUGGCAUCUUACACACUAAUACCCCUUGGUUCCUUGAAUGUUUUGGCUUUGAAACUUGCUCUCCCCCCCCCCCCCCCCCCCCCCAUGUACUGGAACCUACCAGCAGCUCUAUUCAAUGAAUCUUCAGACCUUCUCUUCGUGGCUUUUAUUUUUUAUCAACGGGCUGGGGCUUUUGUGGCUCAUUGUGGCAAUUGUAUGGGCUAAGGUGGUUCAUUAAGUAAGUGGGCUAUUUUUAUUAAACAUUAGGCUUUUUGGUUGAGUCACUAGGCUAUUUUGAUUGGGCUAUUGGGCUAUUUUUUUCCUCUCUUGUGCUCACCCACAUGUUUGGACCAAAGAAAUGAGCUUGAGUCCUGAGGCUCCCAAGCGACCCGAGACUUUCCAUUUCUGGCCCAUCAAUGGGCCUCAUGUUGAUUUAUUACCAUCCAUACCACAACCCACUCAAGCAGGCUCCGGGCAUUUGAAUGACUUGGGCGCACUUAGGCUUGUAGUGUGGUUGGGUGCGAAAUAACGAUUUCGUGCUUGGCAUGUUUUAAUUUUAUCAUCCUUGGGAAAGGCUGCGAUGUUUGAUUUCGGCAUGGGCUUGUAGAGCUGGUAUGCUUUAUUUCAACUCCUAGCAUGACGAAUUAUUUAUUUAGCAUGGCACGUGAAUUACAACUCGCAUGUGGUGGGUUUUUGUGUACUACACCUUACGCCUCUUCUUAAUAGAACAUCGUUUUGGGCUGAUAAUUUAUUCGGGCCAAACCGUGAAUUUUUUGGGUCUCAAUAAUAACCAUCAUGAAACAUUACAUUUUGACUGACGUCAAGAAAUGGGGUAUCCCUUUCCUGAUAGUGGCAUCCAUGAUGCCUUCCAAGCAGUCAAUUAAGGGCUAUCGUGAUGCAUUUUAGUUGUCAGCAAAAGGUGUUUUUCUUGUACUGUAUUCACUCAAAGUCGUGUUUCAUUUAAGAUUAGUAGUAUGGUUGAAUACCAUUUGUUUUGUUAAAGAAUAUUAUACAUUAGGGAUUUUUGUAGAAAUGUCAUUUGAACUUAUACCUUAGUUUCAAUUUGUCACCUUGAAGAAAAAUUUAAGAGAAAUGUCACCUUAAUUUUUAAAAAUCCAUGAUUUGUCAUAUGACUUUAAAAUCAUCCAAUUUUCCAUCCAUUUUAAGGGUAUUUUAGUCUUUUCAUUUUGAAGGAAAAAAAAGAGAUGAAAAAAGAGACCUCUCUCUUACUUUGUCCCUCAACCCAACCCCACCCGCCCCCCAAAACACAUCACAUAGGAUUGCCUCCCCCUUCCCCACUUUUCUUUUUUCUUUUUGUCCUACUUUUCCACUAUGUUUAUGUUGAAGGAUCUAAAGUUUGCUUGGUCACCAUCUGUUACGUAGGCUUCCCAAUUGUUAGUUUGGGUGGGUUGUGGGAAUUUGUGUGCUCGAAACCCGAGACGAAUCUUGUGGAAUUCCCGACAUCACACCGAUGCCGGGCCCACUUCUGAACUAAAUUCUCUUUUCCAAAAUUAAGGAAAAAGAGUACGAGGCUUUCUGCCGAAAUUUCGACAGAGUAUUCCCUAUAAAUUUAACAUUUCAGCUUUGGUGGCCGUUCUCUCAUUUCAGCUUUGGUGGCCGGAUGAGAGAACGGUCGGCUAAAACGUGGCCAGCUGGCACUGCCGUCGCGAGAGAGAGAGAGAGAGAGAGAGAGAGAGAUUUUUAUCAAAUCAUUUUUGCCAAAAUUACGAUUAUGCAACUGAGGGUAUUUUGAUCGUAUCUUUUUCAUUAUAACUCUGAUUCAAGCCCACUACGUGUUUACGGACUCAUCUCGCCGUGCUCUAUGCAAUUGUAUAGUUGAAAUUCCCAAAUUCCACCCCAGUCAAAAAUUCAACUUUAAACCCUACAAAAUAUUAUAGGGGCAAAAUGGUCUUUUAUCUAAUUAAAUUAAUAAUUGAAAAUUUAUUUAGGACCGGGUUGUUACACUGUCGUUGAUGGACUGUGCGAUGACACUCACACAAAGUCCUUGAGAAUAAAACACACACACACCAUGAAGAGAGUAAAACAAAUACACAAGUACACAAAGAUUUAUAAAGGUUUGGCCUUCUGCCUACGUCCUCUUGGUGAUCCACCCGAGAAAUUCACUAGUACGUAAGAACAACUUUGGUUACAACUAAACCCCCUUAGCUUUCAUAAGAACCCUAGAUCUCUUUUCUCCCACCCUUGCUCCAACCCUUUGAUGCCCUUGUAAACACUCAAGAAUUCACCCUUGAAUUCUGUCAUGUGUUACAUCUUCUCUUCUCCCCUUUGUUAACCUAACCCUAAAAGUUAUAUUUAUAAUUCAUAGGACUUUAAGUACAAGUUAACUAGGAAUAGGAAACAUAAUAGACCUCAAAAAUUGGAGAAAAUAUGUUUAGAUCUCGUUAGGAAAUUGCACAACACGUGCGAUCCGCUCGAGCGCCUGCAAAAUGAUCCCUUUGUCGCUCAAGCUGCCGAUAGCUCAUGGGAUGGGGGAAUUAGAGAUUUUUUUUUUUUUCAAUUUUAAUUGUUUAAAAGAUAUACAAUUUUUUAAUAAUAAUUUUUCCAUUUUUAAAAUACCCUUGAAAAUAGAAAGAUUAAAAUGCCCUUAAAAAUGGAUGGAAAAUUGGAUUGCGUUAAGGUCAGUUGACAAAUCAUGGAUUUUGAAAAAUUAAGGUAACAUUUCUCUUAAAUUUUUCUUUAAAGUGACAAAUUAAAAUUGAGGUAUAAGUUCAAGUUACAUUUAUGCAAAAAUCCUUAUACAUUAUGAUAUUCUAACAAUAAAAUUGGCUAAAAUUGAUAUGUUCCCUCUUUAUUUUCUUUUUCUCUUUUCCUUUUCAUUUUAUGAUCCAAUCCUUUUCAUAUAUUUUUGUUCAAGACUUUGUUUUAGAAUGCUCUAUUACUAAUUUGGUACAGGUCCCUAAAAUCUCGGAGCCGCCUUAGUACAUUCAUAAUGUACAUGUUCAGAGUUCAAGAAUAAUGUAUAGAAUGUGAAAUUGACGAUGCCGGCCUUUAUGAGGCAACGUCUUUAUUUCUUUGGUUAUUACAGUUUAGAAUAUUUGCACAAAUGAGAUGAUUCCAAGCAUAAAGUCACAUUCGACCAAAAAGCAUGAAGUCACACACAAAAAGAACACGGACAAUUGCUAAGUUUAUCCUUGUACCCUUAUUUUAUUGAUCCGACCCAAUUGAAAAUUAAAAAAAGAUGAUAAAAAAUAUUGUUCACUACUUUAAAAUCUAUGAGUAGAGUCCUCCAUUUGAAAUUUCGUCAUUAUACAAAAUUGGAAUGAAAAAAGAAAAUCCUACAGCUAAAUUUGAUAUAUUUCCUUUUCAUUUUAUGCUGGGUGUUAGGGCUUGUCAAUGGGCCGGGCUAGGCUAGCCCGGCUCAAAUUUAAUGGGCUUGGGCUAGGCCGGGCCAAGCUUUAAAGAGGAGAGAGAAAAUAUCCGGCCGAGUUUUUUAAGAAAAUUCAAAGCCCAAGCCCGAAUCACUGCUGUCUAGCCCGGCCCAAAUUUAAUGAGCUUGGGCCAGGCCGAGCCAAGCUUUAAAGAGGAGAGAGAAAAUAUCCGGCCGAGUUUUUUAAGAAAAUUCAAAGCCCAAGCCCGAAUCACUGCUGUCAUUUCAUUGAUUUGUGACGAGCACAACCACCAAAUCAGAAUUUACUCACGAAAAUAUCAAGUAUGUCUAGCAAAUUUCAAUUUUGAAUAAUACACAAUUUCAAAAGGAGGACAUGUUGCAAGACAGCAUACCUUCUCUUGGGGUGCUUUUCAUUUUGCAACAUUUCUUUACGUGUAAUUUCCAGAGGAGGGUUUAUCAUUGUAUAUAGCUUUUCGGGUGGUUUGUCUACAAAACAAAUGUCACAAAGAAGGAGGAGAAACGGAAAAGAUUUACUUGGAAUGUCUCAAGUCUCCUUUGAGAUAAAGGCAUCGAAUGCACAACAUUGCUUUUGUGCUAUUUCAUAAUUAAAGUGUGCUUCCCAAGUCUCCUUUGUGUUUUGUAACUUGUAAUGUUUGUUUUUUUGUUUCCCCUGUUUUCCCUCUUAUAAAAGAAAUACAGGUCCAAACCACACGGAUCUACUUGCAUAAUAAUGGACCAAAUUUAUGAUUUUUAGAAAGAACCUUCUGCCGGUGGAAUCUUGGGCUACUGUUGUGGCUCUCCUCUGUGUGCCUCCUUUUUAGAACGGUAAAAUAUUCAAAAUACUAGAAAAUGUUCGUGAUUAAUAUAAAUAUUAAGAAUUGAAAUUAUUAAUUAAAUGAGGAUAAUAUGGUAAAUUCACACUUUUUUAUAUUAAAAAAAUUAAAAUUAAAAGAAAAAUCAGAUAAUUGAUAUUAUUUUUAUGGAACACAGCUACUCAUUAUCUUUUUUAAUUCUAAAAUAAAUUUAAAUUAAAGAAAAAAACCCCUCUCACAGGCACGGAAGCGCGUGCUCAGAGGCUAGUUAAAAAUAAUGAACUUUGCUUCUGAAGACGUCUAUACCAGACCCACUCAACCUGCUUUAUGAUUAUACAAAGAACAAACUCGUCCUUAGACUCAUUUGGUUAAACUUAGAAAAUAAUGAAACAAAAAUAUGCACUCCCACAAGUAACACAGCCAGGAUUGAAAACAACUGGACAAAGAAAGGCAUGUUAAAACAGAAUUUUCAACAACUCAUCACCAUUAGACAAGAAAAAGAAAAAUCAAUACAAAAACAGAAAGAACAGAGAAUAAAUGUGGUGGAAGAAAAACGUUGAAGCCAUUUGUGAAUCCAACAACACUACCACUCUGUUUCUCUCCUUUUGUUCAGGCGGAUCUGCAUAUAUCCUAAGGCGUAUUACGGAAACAACUUCUUGCCGUUAUACUUGAAUGUUGUGGAUGCUUCAACGUUGCCAUCUGGGUGGAGUGGAUUUGUCCAAUUCACCUUCACUAUGGUAUAUACGUCCAAAUUGUUGUUAUUUGAAAGGCUUCUAAAUUUUAACAUUUUGAUUUUUAAAUUUUGUUUAAAUAUUUCGGCCCACUUAGUUCUUCUCAAAAUAUGUCAUCAAUAUCGUUGAAAGGUUGAACUUAGUGAAUUAUUAUAGUGCAGUACUGUAGAAUAGACACAUGAUAUAAUUUGUCCACAUGUUAUAAUAUAAGUAAAUAUUUAUUGAUAUUAUUUCUAAAAAUAAGAAAUAUCAACCAUUAUAUCCUCCCAUAUUAUAAUACAUAUACAAAUUAUACCACAUUAUCAUACUCUAAUACCAUUUUAUAAUUUCUCGUACUUAGAGCGAGUCAAUGACAUUACAUAAUAUAUAAUUGUUCAUAUAAUGGGGCAACUAACGUGAUCAACAAGUUGUGGUGAUUAAUUUAACAUAAUAAAAAAUAUACCAUUUACUUGAGUGAUGUAACAAUUUGUUCUUUUAAAUUGGAUUGCCAUCACUUUAAUAUGAUAUGUUUCUUAUUAUAGUGUCCCAUGUUAAGUGCUUCAGCAUUGUUUGUGGUGUGUACACAAAUUUUCUUAUAAAAUGUUUUAAUGCUUCUCACAUGUAUAUCAGAUAUAGACAGUUGAUGUGACUUAGAAAUCAAAUUGUCAAUAAAGCAAAAAAAUAUAAUUGGUGAUUGAGGUCCAAUUUAAUAGAAAAUAGUCUUAACUUGUAUAUUAGAGGUUUCAGAUUCGAAUCCUCACUGCAUUAUUGUUGUAUACGUACACGAGAAAUCCUCUUCUCCAAUAAUUUAGACUAUCACUUAUACUAAAAAAAUAUAUAUAUAUAAUGACUUUUACGGAUGCAAACAUAAAAUUACACCAAACAAUAAUGGAAUAGAAAGAUGCAAGUUAUUUUUUUUUUUUUUACAUCUAAAGUAUACUUUAUAUAUAUAUUUAUUAUGGGUGUUAUAACCGUUUAAUUUUCAGUUUUUAUUUUCUAUUUAUUGUUUUAAUUUUUAUGGUUUAAUGUGUAUGAAGAUUACAAGUAUUGGAUGUCUACCACUCCUCCUUCACAUCUGAAACAAACCACCAUCUCAUUUCUGUAUUUUCAUACUUUCAUAUAUUUUCUACUUUCCAGAUUAUUAUUUUUGGGCAACGGUUCUGUGACUUGCAGAUUUCUAUCCGAUUGUUAACAUGCUCAUAGCGGACCUUGAGCUUGCGUAUUGGGGAUCGUAUCUUGGAGCCUUAUAGACCUUUAUUACCUGCAUGUAGGGAGGUUAUAAAUGCUUUAGGUCAGCAUCUUUGACGUGCUUUUGCUUUCUUUUUUUUUUUACUUAUUUCUUCGUUUCUUUAUUUUUACUUUACUUUUAAAUUUUUAUUUUAUGUAUUAUUUAUAUUUAAAAGUUUUGAAUAAGAGUUUUACAGAAAAGGAAAAACACAAUUUCAAAUAACACAAAUUUCUCGUUUUUGGUUCUUAAAAUAAAUGAAUUUUUUACUUAUUUGUGAACUGAAAUGCCUCUAAAAAAAUAAUGAUAGUUUGAAGAAUUUGAUAGAAAUUAAAAAAUAUCCUCAAAUUACUUGGAAUUGAAGACCACAUAGGCAAAAACACCAUUUUGGACAAAGGCUGGUGAUAAUAGUCGAUAUCAUCUUUAAGUACUUUAAUAUGAUAUGUUUCUUAUUAUAGUGUCCCAUGUUAAGUGUUUCAGCAUUGUUUGUGGUGUGUACACAAAUUUUCUUAUAAAAUGUUUUAAUGCUUCUCACAUGUAUAUCAGAUAUAGACAGUUGAUGUGACUUAGAAAUCAAAUUGUCAAUAAAGCAAAAAAAUAUAAUUGGUGAUCGAGGUCCAAUUUAAUAGAAAAUAGUCUUAACUUGUAUAUUAGAGGUCUCAUAUUCGAAUCCUCACUGCAUUAUUAUUGUAUGCGUACAUGAGAAAUCCUCUUUCCUAAUAAUUUAGACUAUCACUUAUACUAAAAUAUAUAUAUAAUGACUUUUACGAAUGCAAACAUAAAAUUACACCAAACAAUAAUGGAAUAGAAAGAUGGAAGUUUUUUUUUUUUUUCCUACGUCUAAAGUAUACUUUAUACAGUCCCGAUCUCUUGGACCACAGGAGUCCAAGAGAUUGUGGUCACCCACCGUUGGAUAUUAAUCCAAUGGUUCAAAAUGAUAUAUAUAAAUGCAAUAUGACAUAAAUGAUUAUUACCCGAUCCAAGUCAACCGUUGAAUUUACAUUCAACGGUGGGUGACCAUAAAUCUCUUGGACUACAGGGGUCCAAGAGAUCAGGACUGAUACUUUAUAUAUAUAUAUAUAUAUAUUUAUUUAUUAUGGGAGUUAUAACUGUUUAGUUUUCAGUUUUUAUUUUCUAUUUAUUGUUUUAAUUUUUAUGGUUUAAUGUGUAUGGAGAUUACAAAUAUUGGAUGUCUAUAAAGGGCCACUCCUCCUUCACAUCUGAAACAAACUACCAUCUCAUUUCUGUAUUUUCAUACUUUCAUAUAUUUUCUACUGUCCAGAUUAUUAUUUUUGGGCAACGGUUCUGUGACUUGGAGAUUUCUAUCCGAUUGUUAACAUGCUCAUAGCGGACCUUGAGCUUGCGUAUUAGGGAUCGUAUCUUGGAGCCUUGUAGACCUUUAUUACCUGCAUGUAGGGAGGGUACAAAUGCUUUAGGUCAGCGUCUUCGACGUACUUUUGCUUUCUUAUUUCUUCGUUUCUUUAUUUUUGCUUUACUUUUAAAUCUUUAUUUUAUGUAUUAUUUAUAUUUAAAAGUUUGAAUAAGAGUUUUACAGAAAAGGAAAAAUACAAUUUCAAAUAACACAAAUUUCUCGUUUUUUGUUCUUAAAAAAGAAGAAGCAUUGAUUGGGGAGUUAUGGUAAACUCAAUUUCAAUGGUUGCGAUGAGAGGCGGUGGCGGCGAGGAGAGGACGAAGGCUUUGCUGCCGACGGGGUGGUGUGGGUGGGUGGAGACCUCGGCUGGCUGCUUGGUCCUGGGUUCUCCUUUAAUUCUCUGUUUUCUUUUUUCUUUUUCUUUUUCUCUUAGAGUUAUUGAUGUUAAGUGAAUGGACAGAUGCCAAAAUAGGGACAGAAGUAGGGGUGGGCAUCAAUCCGGCCGAUCCGGUCAAUCCGGCCGAACCGAUUAUAUUGGAUUGGUUUGGUUUGGUUUUGACCAAAGAAAAAGUCAACAUUUUGAAAAACCGAACCGAACCGGUUUGGUUUGGUUCAGCUGUGGUUUGAGAGUUUUAAAAACUGUCCUAAACCGAACCGGACCGAUUAUAAAUCAAUUUAUUAUUUAUUUAAUUUAGUUUACAUGUGGCAAGGUUUGUGUGCGUUUUGUGAGUCCGCGUAUCUGAAUGUUGGUGCACGUUUUGAUCUUCUAAUUUGCAUAUCCCAGUUAUUUGUGUGUGCUUGUAUUUCCCUCUCUUUCUAUCUCUACUAUGUGUGUUUGCUCUUUGUGUUGUGUGGCUCUUCUUACUCUAUCUAUCUUAAUUAAUGGGUCCAUUUCAUAAUUUCAUACGCAUUCAAACUCCACCUCUGUGAUAAAAACAUUUACCUCUUUGUGAUAAAAGCUUUUCAUUUGUUUGUAUUUCUCUUUGGCUUUUUGACUCACUCACUGUCUUUCUUUCUUUUAAUGCUACUUGUGAUGAAUGCAAUGAGUAAAUUUAAUGCUACUUGGUUAAUGCAAAUUUUGUAUAUGUUUGUUUUGAUGGAAAUUGUGAACUUAGAUGCAUGCUAGACAUUGGACAACCUUUGAAUAAAUGGAAUGAUGUUGUAUUAGCCUUUGAUGGAAUGAAAUGAAAUGAUAUAAUGGCAAAAUGUUAGCAUUAUAAUGUAAGAGCAGGUUGAAAAAUGCAUGGUUUUGUGUUAGGCACAAACCGGCCGAACCAAUCCGAACCAAACCGAUUACAAGUGGUUUGGAUUGGUUCGGUUUCCAUUAUGAUUUUAGGCUAAUCCGAACCAAACCGGACCGUUAUUUUCUUAUUGGUUCAGCUGUGGUUUGAGAGUAAAACCGAACCAAUCCGGACCGUGCCCACCCCUAGACAGAAGAUGUGAACCCAAUUAUAUACAGCUGAUUACAUAAAGUAACAAAUUAAUUAAUACUUGAGUGGAGGACAGGCUUGAGUGGAAGAAUUGAUUAAGGCUUGAGUGGAAGACCAACUUCAGUGGAGGAAAGUAUAGAUAAGGAAAGCAUGCCUCGUUUAACGGCUUUAUCUAAUAAAGAUUAGUUGUUGGCACUUGGAGUUUCUUAGGAAUGCUGGUUUUGUUUCCUUGGUGGACUUGAAAGGUGGUGCGUUGGCUCGGACAUCUCCCUAGUAAUUAAUCGAAGGUGGAAUCUUACAAGACAUACAGCUGCUCAUUAGCUGAAUAUCUCGCUCUCUUUAAAGAGAUCGAAGCAAACUGCAAUUUGCAAUUUGUGUGAUUCAAGCAUGAAUAUCUGAUAUAGUAACUAUACCAUUUGUUGGUUUGAUAAGAAAAGUUUGGUUAGCGAGGAUGAAACCAUAAAGUUCUCCAAAACACACAAAAAACACGAACAAUUGCUAAGUUUAUUCUUGAGUUCACACAUAUUUGUACAAAUGAGAUUACUCCAAGCAUGACUAUACCAUUUGUUGGUUUGAUAUGAAAAGUACGGGCAACGAGGAUAAAACCAUACAAACACACACAAAGAACGUGGACAAUAUACUAAGUUUAUCUUUGCGUUAUUGAUCCGACCUAACUGUAAAAUAAAAAAGAUAAAAAUAUAUAAUGUUCACUACUUAGAUCUAUGAGCACUAAAGUCCUCCUUUUGAAAUUGCACAAAACAUCACUUUUGGUCUUUGGUAAAUUUUUAAAAUAAAUGAAUUUUUUACUUAUUUGUGAACUGAAAUGCCUCUAAAAAAAUAAUGAUAGUUUGAAGAAUUUGAUAGAAAUAAAAAAAUAUCCUCAAAUUACUUGGAAUUGAAGACCACAUAGGCAAAAACACCAAAUUGCAACCUCACUUUAAUGAUAAAAAUGGUAAACUACAAAGACAAAAAUGACGUUUUGCCUUAUACAUAAUUGGAAUUUGCUGGUGAUAAUAGUCUACCAUCUUUUGUCGAUUUGCUGGUGAUAAUAGUCUAUCAUCUUUUGUCGGUCCGACCUAAAAAGAAGAAAAAGUUGAUGGCAUCUUGUACCAUUUUUGCCAAUGUGGGCCCAAACAAUUUGAAGAAGUCCACCGGCAAUUUCUCAAAAGCUAUUGUGUGAGUGUGAAGCUAAACCAAUAUUAUUUUGCAUAUACGACUCCACAUCCCCAUGUGAUGUGAGGCUACAAAAGUGUUUCCAAAACGAAAUAUGAUAUUUCAAAACGAAGCUAUGUAUAGAGUCAUUUGUAUUUGCUUUCACAAUAACAUUUGAUUUGUGAAAGCAUUUUAUAUUUAUACAUUCUGAUAUUCUAACAAAUAAAUUGACUAAAUUUGGCCAACAGGAUUUAGCCGAAUAGAAAAGUCCUUAUUUAUAGACUAGUGGUUUCAAAUUUAAAGUUUAGACUAUCGCAUGUAUUUAAAAAAAAAAAAACAAUUGGCUUAAUUUGAUAUAUUUCCUUUUUUUCCUUUUUCAUUUUAUACUGGGUGCCGUUAUUAAGUUUUAUCCUUAUUUUUUGUUGAAAAGAAAAUUGAAAAAAAAUAAUAAUUCCUACAGCUAGCAACUUCUCCACCUUCCCUUCUUCGCAACUAGGGAUGCCAUUGCAAGGUCACCAUCUCAGAUUAAGUCCUCCUUUUAAAAUUGUGUCGUUAUUCAGAAUUGGAAUAUAAUCCUGUACCACUUUGGCCACUUUUGAAGAUGUUCACCGACAAUUUCUCAAAAGCUAUUAAGCUGUACAUCCACAAUAUUAUUGCAUCCAUCCCCAUGUGAGGCUACAGAAAAAUUUUGAAAACGAAACUGGAUAUUUUAUCUCUAACAACAGCUUUCAUACUUCGUUUACCCUGUGUUUCCAAGUUGUGCUAGCUAUUUGCAAACCUUGGAAUAUUACUUCAUCCAAAUCCCUUGCAGAGAAGAGCAAGAUAUGGCUUUGAUCGGAGAAGCCCUCAUCUCCGCUACCAUCCAGACGUUUUGUGACAAAAUUGCUUCGCCUGAGUUCACCGACUUAUUUCGGCAGAAAAAGCUCGAUGAACAACUCCUCAACAAGCUGAAGACGACGCUGUUGACCUUGUCCGUAGUGCUUAAUGAUGCAGAGGAGAAGCAAAUUAAGGAACCUUUAGUGAGAGACUGGCUUGACAAUCUCAGACAUAAUGUCUUGGCUGCGGAGGACUUACUGGAUGAGAUCGACACUGAAGCUUUGCGAUGCAAGCUGGAAGAAGGUGAAGGUCAAACCCACAAUUUAACCAAGAAGGUACGUGAUUUUUAUCAACGCAUGAAUGUUGAGAUGAAAGAUUUAUUAGAAAGAUUAGAACAAUUUGUACAAGAGAAAAGUGCUCUUGGUUUGAGAGAAGGUGCUGGGAGGAAGGUUUCACAAAGAAGAACAACUUCCUUGGUUCAUGAACCUUGUGUCUAUGGUAGAGAUGAAGUCAAAGAAAAUCUGUUACAAAGAAGAGGAUUUGCCGUCAUCUCUUUCUCAUCUGAGUAUCUCGCGGUGUCCUGCCCUGGAGAAAAGGUAUAAGAAUAAGACGGGACAAGAUUGGGCAAAGAUAUCUCACAUUCCUUGCAUCAAGAUAGGAUACGAACUGAUCAUAUAAUAUGAGCUAUUCCAUAUUUCACUCUCAACCCUCAACUCUCAAAUCAAAGUCAGGUGAGGUAUGUGCCUUCUCUUACUUUAAAAAACUGCUUCUCUUCUUCUAAUUGAAUACAAAAACCAAAACACAUAUUCUCUUUCUCUUCCAAAAACCCAAAUACAUGUUGAACAUUGCCAAAUUUGAUCUCCAAAUUCCUAAUUAUUUCACGCUUUUUGUUAUUUUGUUGCUUAGUAAAUUAUGGUUGCUGGUCACAAAUUAUAGUCUGUUAAUAGGUUCAUGCCAUGAAUUAAUCUUUGGACUUUCCCAGGUACUGCAGGUUUGUUAUUAAUGUUGUGGCCUGAUAUUCGUCGUAUCAAUAGGUUGUCUUACGUUGAGGAGAGAGAUCGAUCAGCAAUUACAAAAUUGUUAGUGAAUUUAGCUUGUUUAUCAUCUCUCUCCUUUUGUUUGUUAAGUUUGGUUGUUCUAGGUUAAACCCUUGUCCCCGCAUUUCACAGCAACUCUAUGUUAUUCCACUCUGUUUAGUUUCAUUUAUGUUGUGAUUCGACUGCUGCUGUAUUUUAGAUUUCGUUCAUGUAAUGCUAGGAUGUUUAAUCUCUUAUCUGUGGUGGUAGUUGAGUAGUCUAGCUAAUCCAAUGAUAACUUGUCCCCUGUUUUGUAUUGUUUUUAUUUCUCUGGUAAUGAAAGCACGUUUCUUAUAAAUAAAUAAAAAAUAUUUCAUUGAUAUUCAUUGCUUAUUUUGAACUGCAGAAGCCUACUUUUGUCAGAGUCAGUAGAUGCCAGAAUGAAGUCAUUGCCUAAACACAUUGGCACCCUCACAGCCUUCGACAUUUUGGGAUAUAUGAUCUUCAAAAUCUUGUGUCAUUUGCCUCCCAACCUGCAAUAUUUUCAUAUUUUAAAUUGUGACAGACUGAGCCCUUUGGUGGGAGAUUACUGGGGUUUGCAAGGACUUGGUGGCAAUAUCUUGUAGACGUUUCUCAAGGAACAGCUGCUCAAUACCACUCUUCACACUCUAUAUAUUAUGGCCUGUCAGUCUAUAAUUCCUGCCAGGAGAGGAACUUGAACGCCUCUCUUCGCUGCAAAGGCUACAUAUUUGUGGGUGUGACAAUAUCCAAUUCCUGCCAGAAGAGUGUUUGCUGCCAUCUCUUUCUUAUCUGUGCAUCAACCAUUGUUUUGCCAUGUAGAAAAGGUAUCUCACAUUCCUUGCGUCAAGAUAGGCGAAGAAGUGAUCAUAAGAUAUGAGCUCUCUCUCCCUCUCGCUCACAUACAAUGUACUUAACACAAACACUCAAUCUGAUUUCUAUUAUUAUUUUGCUCAGUAAAUUUUGUUUAAAUUUGCUUUAUUUCUCAUUGCACUUGUUCUGCUGAUCACAACUUAUAUCCUAUUUAAAUCUCAAAUGCUGAAUAAUGAGCAGUCUUUUCGCAGGACAACAUAUCUUCUCUUGGAGAGCUAUUCAUUUGCAAGGUUUCUUUAUGGGUCAUUUCCAGAGGAGGGUUUACUAUUUAAUAGAAAGGUUCACCUGGAAUAUCUCAACUGACACAUUCCCAAAUACAGGCAUUGAAUGCACAACAUUUUGAGGUACUAUUUUUGUAAUAAAAAUGUACUUGAGUCUCAUUUGAGCUAGUUUAAAUUGUAUUCAAUGUCUAUGGAUAACCUGUGAGCUUAAGUUGUAAGAUAAAACUCACAGUAUAUUAUUAGGGUUUAGGGUUCAACUGUUCAACAGGUGAGCUUAAGUUGUACUUUCCUAGGUACUGCAUGUAUAUAAUCUUAGUAUCAACACUUGGUCUUAUGUGGACAAGAGAGAACAUUUGAGGAAUUACAAAAUCUUCUUAGUGAAUUAAUGUUGUUUCAGCUCUGUUUGUCAUCCCUCACAUUUUCUUUGUUAAGCCUUGAUUUUUUAUUAGACAUAAGAAAAAAUGCUUUUAUAAGACAGGAGAUGAAUGCUUUUAUAUGUUGAUGUCGUAGUCAGUCUUCAACCACACUCUGUUUUUAGAAUUCAUUUAUGUUACUAGUUGAGUGCUGCUGUAUUUUAUAUUUCGUUCCUGUAAUGUUUGGAUGUUUAGCUUGAGCAGUCUAGCUUAUCCAGUAGAUAACUUGUUCCCUGUUUUGUAAUGUUUUUGUUUCCUCUAAUGAAAGCAGGUUUUACUUAUCUUGAACUGCAGAAGCCUACUUUUUGACAUAGGUGGCAUGGCACAAACUCGCAUCCGCAUUUCCUUCCCCAUUGGCAUGCUGUCUCAUCUUUUGUAUUCUGUUACCAGCUUGAAGCUUGUGUAGACAUGUUAUGCUCUUGUAAUUCUGAUCACAAACAUCACUUGACAAAUGGAAAGUCACAAUCAGAUCUUUCAGGUGAUCGGGAGGUUUACUUUCUAACAUUUGUUUUCAUUGGGGGGAGGACAACAAUACAGAAUUUAAAAUUUCUGAUAAUCAAUAGUAGUUUGCAUAUAUCAGCUGGGACCUGUAUGACUGUAUUAUGUAAUUAAUUAUUUCUCUUAUUGUUUUGGUACUGUUAAAAGGAGUUAGCCACAAAAUAAAAAAGGAGGCCUCUUAUUUCAUACAAUUUUUCAAAAGUGAUCAUUCAUCCGUUUCUUUUUCAACAAUAGAGGAAUGUAUACUAAUCGUCUGGUCCAUCUGCUGCUUCACUCCCUAGUAGCUUCAUCUCCUGUCCUUUGCUUUAUUUCUGUUGAUGAAUGUUUUGUCUGGGUUAUUUAUUUUCAUUUCAUGUCCAUUGCUUCAUUUCUGUUUGGAUUCUGUCCUGGACUUGAACAAGGGUUAGGUUAGCUGUAUAAUUUGCGGUUUUAUAUACACAACUGUCUACAUUGAUUAAAACCAGCAUUAUUCUAAGGUUCAUUUAGAAUGUAUUAUCACCAAAAUUAUAAAGUAUACUUCUAUUACAAUUAAUUUGUUGAUUCUAAUUUGGACUUGUAGGAACAGACCAAACAUGUUCAUACGUGGCAUUGCUCAAGUCAUCAUCAUUCGGGACAGAGAAUAAGCCUUCAAAUGUCUGCUGAGUCAAUGAACCUUUCUAGAUAUCUCAAGUGUAGUGGAAAUUGAUGAGUUACAAAGGAUUUUUAAACAUUUUCUACUGGAGGCUAGAAAUGCUUCAAAUAAAUGACUGUGUUGCAAUUAUUUUGUAGGAUCAAAGACUCUGCAAAGAGGUAAGAAAGUCAUCAUCAAGUAACUUUGCUCUUCAAACUUUUUAAUUUUAUUUUUAAAUAUCAGUAAUAACUGGGAAAGUUUGCAUUUCCUUAAAUUGCUCAUUCUUACAUCUUUUAUAGUUUGUUGAUCUUGGGCAAGUGGAGAGAGAGGCGUCAAGUGAUACACAACAACCAUUUUCUGUGAGCUGAUUUGAUAAAGAGAAAUGGUAUGCUUUCUUGUCUUAAGCGGUGUGUUCUGCAAUUAUUUGAAACAAAGGAUGCCGCACUUCAAGUUCGAGAAAAUCAGGUAUUUUAGUAUUUUAUUCUGGAGAAAUUUGAUUUAUGUAGAAACUUGAACAUGUAAAUGAGAGAAAAAAAAAUUUAUAUAUAUAUAUAUUAUAUUGUAUAUGCUCUUAAUGAGUUAAUAUGGUGCUUGCUCCUGGUUGGAAAUUUAUGUAGUCAUCUACCUAUGAUCAAAUAAAGAUGAAAAAUAAAAUAAAAUUGAGAGCAUCUUCCUCUCCCCUGCUUUGCUCAUCCCUUGUUCUUCCACUUCAGCCCCACUAUUACACCAUUUUUUCAGCCACAAUUAUAAUAGCUCCAUGAGCAUUAAGUCCUUUUCAAAUUCUGCUGACAUUCAAAAUUGGAAUUGCUGGUGAUAUAUGAUAGCAUCCUUGUCCGACCAAAAAGAAAAAAAAAAAAAGUUGAUAGCAUAUUGUACCAUUUUGGCCAGUGUACGCAAUAUUAUUGCAUCCAACUUUGCAUAUUAACAUCAGUGGCCACAGUUCCAUGAUUUGAGUGCACAGAAAGGUUUCAAAAGUUGUCCCACAAAGAACAGUCGUUCAAAGUGAAAGAGAGUUUUCAAAGCUUAGUUACAAGUUCAUGUUAUUUACAAUAUCAAAAAGCUUUCAUACUUGCUUACAAACCUGUAUUUCCAAGUUCUGCAAACCUUGGAAUAUCACUUCAUCCAAAUCCCCUUCCAAAGCAGGAAAAAUGGCAGCAGCUUUGAUUGGAGAGGCUCUCAUCUCUGCUUCUAUCGAGUUGUUGUGUGACAGAGUUACUUCAGCCGAGUUCAUAGACUUAUUUCAGCAGAAGAAACUUGAUGAAACACUCCUCAUGAACCUGAAGACGACACUGUUGAUUUUGUUUGCGGUGCUCAAUGAUUCAGAGGAGAAGCAAAUUGUGAACCCUGCUGUGAGAGAGUGGCUUAACAGCUCAAGCAUGCUGUCUUUGAUGCAGAGGACUUACUUGAUGAGAUUGACACUGAAGCUUUGCGAUGCAAG